UCGCUUUUAUUUCUUCCACAUCACAAGAUCGUAUAAAGCUUAUUUUCUCCACACUAAUAAAUCAUACAUAUUUAGAGAGCAAUUUUUAUUGCAUGCACCGAUGACAACUUACUUGAAGGAUCUUACUCAAUCCAUAGGUAGGUAUGGUGGACUCUCAUGGCAAAACAAGUUUAAGGGAUAUUCGGAAGCACAAGUAGUAUCUCUACUUGGUGCAAAGAAUUUUGUCGGAUUUCGGGUUCCGGCAUACCCUUAAGGUUCGAACUCUGGGGUGCGCGCGGAGAUCUCUCCCCUACCGAUCUACGUCCGAUCUCCUCGUGCGAUCUAAGCUGGAAAUGAUGAACAACACAAGGGACACGAGAUUUAUACUGGUUCGGGCCACCGUUGUGGUGUAAUACCCUACUCCAGUGUGUGGUGUGGUGGAUUGCCUCAGGGGCUGAUGAUGAACAGUACAAGGGAAGAACAGCCUCGCGAGAGGUGUUCUUGAGCUGGUGCGAUGAACUGCUUGGGUGAGUUCAAUCGUCUCUCUCUCUCUAGAUCUAGAUCUUAUCCCCUUCUCGAUCUGCUCGUUCUCUUCUUGGACCUCUCUUUUCUCGAUCUCUCCUUCGACCUCCCUUUGUGGUGGCUAGCUCUAUUUAUAGAGGCCCUAAGCCUCUCCCCAAAUAAUGAGCGGGAAGGGCGCCAACAAUUGGCCAUUUUGAAGGGGAACAUCUAGUACAAGUUAUCCUGACCAAAGGUGGUCUUCGGCUGCCAAAAGCACUGGUGAUGACGCCGUCUUGGGCUCCACGAUGACCUCCGUCCAGCCGCUCUGCUGGUCUUGGUCUCGUUGCACCGGAAUGGUAACCUUUGCCCGAUGCCUUGGCCUGUGCUUGCCCCCUUUGCACCAAAGGGGAAACAAGGGCACUGCGCAGGCCGGCGCCCGCCUGGCGCCCGCCUGGUCUCGAUCGUCAUGGCUUGCGUCACGGGCUCCUCGCGAGGUAUCCCUGCCUUGAUCUCUCCGCCUUCCUCGCGAGCCGGCCUGAUGAGGCUGCCCUUAGGGAAGCUUCCUGUCGUCCGCCCCGCGAGGCUUGGCCCCUCGUGAGGGUCUUGAGCUUGAGCUGAUGAAGAUGGGCCGCGCUGGGCCCCCACUUGAGCCACGCCGCAGGCCGCAUGCAGGCAAGUCUGGGGACCCCCGUUCCCAGAACGCCGACAGUAGCCCCCGGGCCCAAGGCGCGCCCGGGCUUGGCUUAGCAGAGAAGCGAAGGGGCAAGCACGAAGCGCCGCGGGCCCCAAAAGCCUGCGGCCUUGGGCGCCGCAUGGCGAUUGAUUGGACGUGGGCGUCUGCGCUUCCCACGAUGCCUCGGCAACUGUCCAUCUGACAAAAGAGGUGCCCGGGCCAGACUUACUUGGUUUGUUCUCGUUCAUCUCGCCCCAGAUCCCCUUUCUCGCUCUCCUUCUUGCUCCCGAAAUCCUCCAGAUCUAUCUCAAUCCUUCUCAUCCGGCACGCCAUGGCGCCUCGCAAGUCUCCGACUGAGGCCUGGUACUCGCCGGCUCUGGAUUCCCCGAACCUGUCGGAGAAGAACCUUGCCCUCACACGCUUGAUGACGGUGGCGCAGGGCCGCGAGGGGGCGACUGUGCUUAAGGCCGGCUCCGACCAGCCUGAGGGCAAGGGGAGCACCUUCUAUCCGUUCUUCGUGAGCGCCAUCGUCGCCGGUCUGGUGCCUCCUUUCUCUGAGUUCUUCUUUGCUGUUCUCCGCCGAUACAACUUGCAGGCUCUGCAUCUCCACCCCAACUCUGUUCUUCUCCUGGCGAUUUUUGCCUACUAUUGUGAGGCUCACGUUGGGGUAAAGCCCUCGGUGGCCUUGCUGUGCCACUAUUUCUUCCUCCGGGUUUCUGGUGCCCAUGUCUCCGCAUGCGCGAGAUUUAUCGCAUACUCCAACUCCAAUGCUAUCUCGAAGCCUGGGAAUAGGAUCGAAGGCUUCCGGAGCAAGUGGGUCAUGGUGGAUGUCGGGCGUCUUCACCCCCGGCUGGUGUUGCGCAUGGGGCAGCCCAAGGCCGUUGACGCGUGGUCCCGUGCGGAGCUCGUCGACUCUCGUGCGAAGGCGGUGCUGAAGAGGAUGAACGCGGACCUGAGGCCGAGCAACUUGGGGGCGGCGAAGCUGACCGGGGCCACGCUCCUGAGGGAGUUCUUGGAGCACCGGGUGGCUCCACUCCAGGAGCACCCACUCCCGUUGUGGAGGCUUGGGCAGUGGAUGCUGCCUUGCGCCUAAGCUCCGAGGCCCUGGCCGACGAGGAUUUGGUCGCGGCACUCCAUUCCUUGGUUGGGGAGACGUGGCGAUCCCGGCGGGCGCCCCGUCCCCCUGUUCCUUCGUGACGACUGGGAGCAGGUGGUGAGCGCCAUGCCCACCUUCAAUGGUGACGGGCUGGUGCCUGCGGAGGCUCCCGAGGAUCUGGCGGCGCUAGCAACGGUGGAUGUGUCCUCCAGCAGCUCCAGCGGGAGUGGAGGGGAAGAAGAGGCGGAGGAGGAAGAGUCCGACUCUGAGGCGACCGGCGAAGAGUCGGAGGAGUCCUUCCCUUGGCUCAAGUCCCAGGCCCUCCGCUCCAUGCCGGACGACGACGAGGCCGGCGCCAGGCGAGGAGGGGAGGACUCUUCCUUGGUCACGAGGAAAGGCAGGUCGAGCCUGGUUCCCCCAGGGUCUGCUCUGGUCCCUGGGCGAUCUGAGGCCAGCUCCAGCCCACCUGACGUGCCUUCUGCUUCUGGGCCUCCCAAGGCUAACUCCAGCCGCAGGCUCUCGGGCUUCAAGUUUGGCCGGAGGUUGCUUGAGUCCGCAGAUGACGCCCAGUAAGUGCUCGAUUCGUGCUUCGCUUGAUUUCUGCCGCCGAGAUUUGACAUCUGCAUUCUUUUACCAGGUCGGCACCUGCAGCGAAGAGGUUGAGAGGUGCUUCUGCGGCCCUGCUUGGGGAAAAUCCAUCUGCCAGAGCGACGCCUUCGUCUGCUAGGGGGAGGCGACGAGGCUCGCGCUUCCCCUGCUCGAUCGUCUCCACGAGGCCAACUGGGACACCUUGGCGAGGAGUCAGCCCCCGUGGCCCCGCUGACCCUGGAGUCGACUGCGCCUGAUGCCGCAGCCAGGGCAGCCAAGGCCCAGGGGGUUCCUUCCUGCCAAUCCGUGAUUACUCUUCCGUCCUCUCCGCCUGCUCCACUGGUUCCUGCCUCUUCUGCUCCCUCUGCCGCCGUCCUGGACCAGGUCGCCAACGAGCUGAGCCAGCUGCGGGAGGAUCUUCUAAGCGCGGACCCUCGCCUAGUGGCCGGGUGUCUGGAGCUGGCUUCUGGCUGGGCUCGUUCUGCCGCCUCCAUCCGAGCAGCGCUGAGCCAGGCCAUGUCGGCUUCCGAUGGGGAGAAACAGGCCGCCAACCAAGCCAAGUCUGCUCGCGAUGCUGCCCUGGGCGACGCUGCGACUGCCCGGGGCCGCUGUAAGACAUUGGAGGCCAAGCUGCAAGGCCUGCGCGACGAGCUCGCCAAGGAGGUGCGCGGCCGCCAGGAGAAGGAGGAGGAGAUGAAGGCUCGGGAGGCUGCCGUCAAGGACCGGCGCGCCAAGCUUGACGACCGCCACAGCCAAUUGGAGGCGUUGGAGCAGUCGCUGAAGGCGGAGAAGACCGAGCUGGACGCCAAGGCGAAGAUCCUGGUGGAGGACCGGGUGGCCUUCGCGGAGCUGGAGAAGAAGGCUCGCGCCAUACUGUAGACGCUUUACGAGAGCGGCCUGGAUGGUCCGUUGGCUGGUGCGGAGUACGGCCCCGCCAAGCUGCUCCCCUUCCUGGUCGAUGCACUUGAAGAUGUCGCAGACGGCCUUGGCCCCACGGUCGAGGCCGAGGCGCGUGCUCUGUCUUCUGCGGCGCUGACGCAUGUCCUCAGCCAUGUCUACCUGCGUGACCCCAACGUCGACUUCGACAGCCUGCUAGAGCCCAUGAGCGGCGACCGUGCCACCGCUGCCGCUGAGGCCGUGAAAGGCCGAGCCGAGGUUUUGCUGGGGAAGUUCCGCUCCGUCAGCGUCUUGCCCGGGCGCGGUGCCGCCGGCUCCGUGGCCUCCGGAGGCGGAGCUGCCCAGCGUGACUCCACCACAGGCGACGACGCCACCAGAGAGUGAUCCUUAGCGGCUUCUGUCCUAUUUUUAUUCUUGCAACAUGCAUCAUGCCUCGCGGAGGCGUUUAAACUUGUGUUUGGCAUUGUGAAACAAUCUAUGGCUUGUAAUAUUUGCUUUGAAUUUCCUGGAAUUUGCAUUUUCCUCUCCUACUUGCUUGCGCUCUAAGUCGGCAGGGCCCGGCCCCACGCGUACCUCACCCAGCGUUAGCCCCGACCGGAAACCAGGAUGGGACUAAGGAGUGAGGGGCUACGUGGCAAGUUAGGCUCCUGAGUCGCGAUGCUCAGGAGUCCCCCUUGACGCGCGAGCAACAAGUAGGGAAGGGGGGAGCGAGGAGUGGAUUGAUCGUUCUGCGUUGGCAGGGCCCGGCCCCGCGCGUACCUCACCCAGCGUUAGCCCUGACCGGAAACCAGGACGGGACUAAGGAGUGAGGGGCUACGUGACCAGUUAGGCUCCUGAGUCGUGAUGCUCAGGAGUCCCCCUUGACGCUCAAACGGGUUUCGUACCUUGGCUCCGCUCGGGGAGGGCGCGCGAUGACCAGGUCCGAGGGACCUGGCUGGGUGGCGUACGCUCGGGCGAGGCCCGGGCGUAGCCCCCGUGUCCAGCCCCCUCGCGCGGCACUCCCGAGGGGAGGCGUUGCGACGGUGCCGGACACUGAGCUCUGGGCUCCCUGAGGUUGAUACGGCCGUGGGCCGCCCUCAGUUGUUUAUCACCAGCGCGGAGCAUAGCGCUUCCUUAUGUGUACGGGCAUAGCCGCUCCUCGGCAGUGUCGUCAGCGAGCGCGGAGCAUGGUGCUUCCACUGGUACGUGGGAGGGGGCUCCCCUCCGGGAGGAGCCCCCGGGGCGUGUACAGCCCCGCCCUGACACGUGGCCGGCACGGUAGGGCUAGGAGAGGUGUAUCUGGGCACCCGUGAGCCAGCGCGGGACUCACGGGGCCCUACCUCGAGGCGGGUUGCGCCUGGCUCUGGGCCUUUAUCAAUGGUGUGUUCCUGCAGGGUGGUUAGAAUACAAAUGCUCUACGUCCUCAGGUCCCGGCCCUCGAGCGAGCUCAGCCGCCGCUGGUAUGACAGGUCGCGAUGCCGUGGGUCAAGGCCAGGGGGUGAGGGCUGGAGAGCCAGUAGGAUCCCAUGAGUCGCGAUGCUCAGGUACCCCCCUUUUAAUGUGCAAGCGCUUUGCAUGAGAGCGGAAAAGCCCGCGAUAAGCAGCAGGUGACAAUCAUGAAAGAGCGAAUUCAUUUUAAGUAGAUGCAAGAAAAGCAAACGCCGCUGGGUCAGGCCCGAGCAGCUUGGGGAUGAUGCAGCCCGAGGGCGCCCCCAACAAGGUAGGUAAAGAGCAUAAGCAAAAUGGAUACAUGCCGCAGGGACGGACCCACGCGGCCUGGGAAUAGUGCGGCCCUGUGGGCGCUCCCAGCUAAAAACAGAACUUUGAAAGAUGUCACCUGAUGUCGUUGGAGAUGAAGUGAUGCUGAAGAAACGGGCGACGCGUGGCGAAGACGUCGGUCCUCACGAGCCCCCAGGCCCAGGAGCCUCGGGAGGCUCCGGGGGCACGGUUAGGUCUCCGAGGGCCAUCUCCACCUCCGCCAGGACCGCAUGGCGCCUGACCUCCUGAGCCUCCAGAAUGCUCCUCAGCAGGCGCUGAUGAGCGGUGACUGCGUUCGGCAGGCCGAAAGGCAUGCGAACGUAGCUGUGAGGCGGUCCCUCGCAGCGCCCCACGCGCGAAGGCCAGAGGCGCUCCUGAGACGCGACUCGGUUGAGACCUGGUACGUCGAUGCAGACGCGCAGCCCACCAUCCUCGCCUGGAUGUGCGGCUACGGCGGGUAAGCGGCGGCUGCCGCGCAUGACUCUCGACUCCUGUAGCUCCUGGGUGUUUCUUGCGAUGAACUCCUGAGGGUUUGGUCUUCCUUGCCUUGUACCUUCCUGAGGGAAUCGUGCCUGGAAGCACCCCUCCAAGUGGUGCCCGAGCGCCUCCCUUGUGACCUUGGCAAAGUCGGUGGCUCUCCAAGAAAGAGCCCCCGAGCCCUGCCUGAGGAGGUCGCCGGGCGCGCCUUCCUAUGCGAGAGAGGGUGGCGCUCCCUGAUCGGGCGCAGAUCCUGACGCAACACCUCCGGAGGCGCCUGCCUUCUGGUGACUUGGGCCAGGCGAAGCCUUCUUCUUCUUUGGAGUCGCCUCGGGAAGCCUUCCGCUCCUGUGAUAUGGGUCUUCGAUUGCUGCGGCUUGGAAUGCACGCUCAAGUGAACACACUACGUCCCUUUCUUCACAGGGUACCGUGAUGACUCCACCGCUUCCAGGCAUCUUGAGGACAUUGUAACCAUGGUGAGUCACGGCCAUGAACUUGGCUAGGGCUGGGUACCCGAGGAUGGCGUUGUACGGCAGGCGAAUGUGGGCGACGUCGAAGUCGAUGAGCUCGGUGCGGUAGUUGUUGCGCUGCCCAAAGGUGACUGGAAGGCGAACUUGCCCUAUCGGAACAGUGGAACCAUCAGUGACUCCUGAGAAGGGCUUGGUCGGCUGAAGCUGAUCGUACGGCACUUGGAGAUUGUCGAACGUCUCGACGGACAGGACGUUGAGUCCUGCUCCGCCAUUGAUGAGGGUCCUGGUGACCUGCACAUUGCUGAUGACUGGGGAGCAAAGCAUUGGGAGGACUCCGGCAGUUGCCGCGCACUUGAGCUGAUCCGCUGAGCUGAACGUGAUAGCGCACGCAGACCACCUGAGAGGGCGCGUGGCCUCGAGAUUGGGGAGGACUGCAUUCACCUCGCGAGCAAACUGCUUGAAGCUACGAUGUGAAGCUGGGGCCUGCGCGCCACCCAAGAUGCAAGCGAUUGCGCGCGGCUCCUGGAAGCCCCCAGCCCCCUCGUCUUGAUGCUGGUCUUCGUUCCUCCUUGGCGGUGGCGGCAGAGGAGGAAGGCCUGCGUUGCCGUGCGGGCGAUCCUCACGAGGCUGAUCCCUCCAACCUCCCUCGCGAGGCUGGUCCUGCCAGCGAUCCUCGCGAGGUCGGUCACGCCAUCGAGGGCCACGGUCUUCCCAUCGUCUGCCACCUCUUCCUCCUCCUCGGCCAUAGCCCCUGUCGUUGCGCUCGGGGCGUCGACCGAUUCGCCCAUCUCGCACGGCCUUGAGCUCUUGACAUUCAUUGGUGUUGUGGGUGUGGAGGUCGUGGUACACGCAGUAUCGGCUGCCCUUGGAAGACUCGGGCUGAUCCCUGCCUUGCUUGGUGUCUGGUUCUGCUGCAAGCACGGUAGCCCCCUUGCGCUUCACGUCCUUGGCCUUGAGCUUUUUCUCUUCUGUGUCAGCUGUCGGGAGCUCGAGGAGGGAGAGGCGCCCUUCCUCAGCCCUGGCGCACUUGGUCGCCAAGCUGAACAACUCCAGGGAUGUGCACAGCUCUUCAUGGAUUGCCAGCUCCUCCUUCAUCUUGAUGUCGCGCACGCCAUCGGAGAAGGCUGAGAUGAUGGCUUCUUCAGUUACCCUGUGGAUCCUGAGGCGAGCGCUGUUGAAGCACUGGAUGUACUUCUGCAGGGUUUCCCCUGGCUGCUACUCGAUGCGGCGCAGGUCGCUUACGGCCGGAGGCCGGUCGCGAGUGCCCUGGAAGUUGGCGAUGAAGCGGGUGCGCAUCUCGUCCCAGGAGGAGAUCGUGCCAGGAGCCAGGUUCAGGAGCCAGGUGCAGGCGCCGUCCUUGAGCGCCAUGGGAAACCAGUUCGCCAUGACCUUUUCGUCUCUGUUGGCGGCUUCGAUGCCCAGCUCGUAGAGCUGCAGGAACUCCGCAGGGUCCGCCGUGCCGUCGUAGCGUGGAGGCAGGUCGGGCUUGAACUUGCCUGGCCAUGUGACGCCGCGUAGCUCGGGAGUGAAGGCGCGGCAGCUGGCUGUGGUCGCCAGGGCCCGCCCUGGGGGUGGAGCUUGAUCUUGACGAGGCGCAGGCGCGGCCAAUGCAGGUUGCGCUCGAGCCUGGCGAGGCGGCGCGGGGAGCGCAGGUGCAGCUUCUCAAGGCCGGGGGACUUCUUGGCGGCUUCUUUCUUCGCGUGUGGGCGUCGGGUGUGGCGGAUCAUGCCGCGGAGGCGCGCACCUUGGUGCCAAGGCACCGUCUUGGGGCUGAGGUGGCGGAGGCACGCCAUGAGCCGCAUCGCCCGCGGCUGGUUGAGGAGGAGGCAGAGAGUGGGAUUGCGCCGGAGAUCCCCCUGCAGCGCGGACGAGCUCGGCGACGUGGUCAAGCCACUCCUCGUAGACGUCGUCGACAGGGCCGUAGCGCGGGAGCUCGUUCGCCGCGAGGAGCGUGGCCUGCGCCUCCAAGGGAGCGUGGUACGCGUGGGAUGAAGAACCGGCCGGGGCCAGUGACGGAGUGGCGGUGCGGCCGUCCCGCCGAACCGAUGGGUGCAGAGACGAGGCCUGCUGCUCGUUCCCCACCGGGCCGGUGGCGGGCGUUGGCGCCAGGCGACGAGGAACGAUGAGGGCAUCCGCCGACGGGCGCCGUCUGGGCGACGCGGGUGGCGAGAGCGGCCCGGCGCUCGGCGCGAGCCCGACGAGCGUCAGACAUCGACACGACGGAAGAUCACACGCAAACAGCGGAGGAAAGAUUCCGGCACACCCCUACCUGACGCGCCAAAUGUCGGAUUUCGGGUUCGGGCAGACCCUUAAGGUUCGAACUCUGGGGUGCGCGCGGAGAUCUCUCCCCUACCGAUCUACGUCUGAUCUCCUCGUGCGAUCUAAGCUGGAAAUGAUGAACAACACAAGGGACACGAGAUUUAUACUGGUUCGGGCCACCAUUGUGGUGUAAUACCCUACUCCAGUGUGUGGUGUGGUGGAUUGCCUCAGGGGCUGAUGAUGAACAGUACAAGGGAAGAACAGCCUCGCGAGAGGUGUUCUUGAGCUGGUGCGAUGAACUGCUUGGGUGAGUUCAAUCGUCUCUCUCUCUCUAGAUCUAGAUCUUAUCCCCCUUCUCGAUCUGCUCGUUCUCUUCUUGGACCUCUGAAGGAAAUAUGCCCUAGAGGCAAUAAUAAAGUAUUAUUUAUUUCCUUAUAUCAUGAUAAAUGUUUAUUAUUCAUGCUAGAAUUGUAUUAACCGGAAACAUAAUACAUGUGUGAAUACAUAGACAAACAGAGUGUCACUAGUAUGCCUCUACUUGACUAGCUCGUUAAUCAAAGAUGGUUAUGUUUCCUAGCCAUAGAAAUGAGUUGUCAUUUGAUUAACGGGAUCACCUCAUUAGGAGAACUCAUGUCUCCUAAGGUGACGUGAGUCUAUGUUUAGGAAAUAUUUAACGGGAUCACCUCAUUAUGUUUCCUAGCCAAGGUGACGUGAGUCUCGGUCUAGAUACAUUGACGUCAUUCUCCUAAUGAGGUGAUCCCNNNNNNNNNNNNNNNNNNNNNNNNNNNNNNNNNNNNNNNNNNNNNNNNNNNNNNNNNNNNNNNNNNNNNNNNNNNNNNNNNNNNNNNNNNNNNNNNNNNNNNNNNNNNNNNNNNNNNNNNNNNNNNNNNNNNNNNNNNNNNNNNNNNNNNNNNNNNNNNNNNNNNNNNNNNNNNNNNNNNNNNNNNNNNNNNNNNNNNNNNNNNNNNNNNNNNNNNNNNNNNNNNNNNNNNNNNNNNNNNNNNNNNNNNNNNNNNNNNNNNNNNNNNNNNNNNNNNNNNNNNNNNNNNNNNNNNNNNNNNNNNNNNNNNNNNNNNNNNNNNNNNNNNNNNNNNNNNNNNNNNNNNNNNNNNNNNNNNNNNNNNNNNNNNNNNNNNNNNNNNNNNNNNNNNNNNNNNNNNNNNNNNNNNNNNNNNNNNNNNNNNNNNNNNNNNNNNNNNNNNNNGUCAAUCACGUCAUUCUCCUAAUGAGGUGAUCCCGUUAAUCAAAUGACAACUCAUGUCUAUGGCUAGGAAACAUAACCAUCUUUGAUUAACGAGCUAGUCAAGUAGAGGCAUACUAGUGACACUCUCUUUGUCUAUGUAUUCACACAUGUAUUAUGUUUCCGGUUAAUACAAUUCUAGCAUGAAUAAUAAACAUUUAUCAUGAUAUAAGGAAAUAAAUAAUACUUUAUUAUUGCCUCUAGGGCAUAUUUCCUUCAGAGGUCCAAGAAGAGAACGAGUAGAUCGAGAAGGGGGAUAAGAUCUAGAUCUAGAGAGAGAGAGAGAGAUGAUUGAACUCACCCAAGCAGUUCAUCACACCAGCUCAAGAACACCUCUCGCGAGGCUGUUCUUCCCUUGUAAUGUUCAUCAUCAGCCCCUGAGGCAAUCCACCACACCACACACUAGUGUAGGGUAUUACACCACAAUGGUGGCCCGAACCAGUAUAAAUCUCGUGUCCCUUGUGUUGUUCAUCAUUUCCAGCUUAGAUCGCACAAGGAGAUCGGACGUAGAUCGGUAGGGGAGAGAUCUCCGCGCGCACCCUAGAGUUCGAACCUUAAGGGUCUGCCCGAACCCGAAAUCCGACAUUUGGCGCGUCAGGUAGGGGUGCGCCGGAAUCUUUCCUCCGCUGUUCGCGUGUGAUCUUCCGUCGUGUCGAUGUCUGACGCUCGUCGGGCUCGCGCCGAGCGCCGGGCCGCUCUCGCCACCCGCGUCGCCCAGACGGCGCCCGUCGGCGGACGCCCUCAUCGUUCCCCAUCGCCUGCCGCCAACGCCGCCACCGGCCCGGCGGGGAACGAGCAGCAGGCCUCGUCUCUCCACCCAUCGGUUCGGCGGGACGGCCGCACCGCCACUCCGUCACUGACCCCAGCCGGUUCUUCAUCCCACGCGUACCGCGCUCCCUUGGAGGCGCGGGCCACGCUCCUCGCGGCGAACGAGCUCCCGCGCUACGGCCCUGUCGACGACGUCUACGAGGAGUGGCUUCACCACGUCGCCAAGCUCGUCCGCGCUGCAGGGGGAUCUCCGACGCAAUCCCACUCUCUGCCUCCUCCUCAACCAGCCGCGGGCGAUGCGGCUCAUGGCGUGCCUCCGCCACCUCAGCCCCAAGACGGUUCUUCAUAGUUCGUAGGUUCGCCAUGAUCUAGUAACAUGACUUCCAGAACAGGAUUACCGUACCACUCUGGUGCGGAUCUUGAUCCACUUGACCUACGAAGUUCAGUAAUAACUUGAUCUGAAGUUUCAUGAUCAUUAUCAUUAACUUCCUCACUAAUUGGUGUAGGUGUCGCAGAAACUGAUUUCUGCGAUGAUCUACUUUCCAAUAAGGGAGCAGGUACAGUUACCUCAUCAAGUUCUACUUUCCUCCCACUCACAUCUUUCGAGAGAAACUCCUUCUCUAGAAAGGAUCCAUUCUUAGCAACGAAUAUCUUGCCUUCGGAUCUGUGAUAGAAGGUGUACCCAACAGUCUCCUUUGGGUAUCCUAUGAAGAUACAUUUCUCCGAUUUAGGUUCGAGCUUAUCAGGUUGAAGUUUCUUCACAUAAGCAUCGCAACCCCAAACUUUAAGAUACGACAACUUUGGUUUCUUGCCAAACCAUAGUUCAAAAGGCGUCGUCUCAACGGAUUUCGAUGGUGUCCUAUUUAGAGUGAAUGCAGCCGUCUCUAAAGCAUAACCCCAAAACGAUAGCGGUAAAUCAGUAAGAGACAUCAUAAAUCGCACCAUAUCUAAUAAAGUACGAUUACGACGUUCGGACACACCAUUACGCUGUGGUGUUCCGGGUGGUGUGAGUUGCGAAAUUAUUCCGCAUUGUUUCAAAUGUAGGCCAAACUCGUAACUCAAAUAUUCUCCUCCACAAUCAGAUCGUAGGAAUUUUAUUUUCUUGUUACGAUGGUUUUCAACUUCACUCUGAAAUUCUUUGAACUUUUCAAAUGUUUCAGACUUAUGUUUCAUUAAGUAGAUAUACCCAUAUCUGCUCAAAUCAUCUGUGAAGGUGAGAAAAUAACGAUAUCCGCCACGAGCCUCAAUAUUCAUCGGACCACAUACAUCUGUAUGUAUGAUUUCCAACAAAUCUGUUGCUCUCUCCAUAGUUCCGGAGAAUGGUGUUUUGGUCAUCUUGCCCAUGAGGCACGGUUCGCAAGUACCAAGUGAUUCAAAAUCAAGUGAUUCCAAAAUUCCAUUAGUAUGGAGUUUCUUCAUGCGCUUUACACCGAUAUGACCCAAACGGCAGUGCCACAAAUAAGUUGCACUGUCAUUAUUAACUCUGCAUCUUUUGGCUUCGACAUUAUGAAUAUGUGUAUCACUACUAUCGAGAUUCAUUAAAAAUAGACCACUCUUCAAGGGUGCAUGACCAUAAAAGAUAUUAUUCAUAUAAAUAGAACAACCAUUAUUCUCUAAUUUAAAUGAAUAACGUCUCGCAUUAAACAAGAUCCAGAUAUAAUGUUCAUGCUCAACGCUGGCACCAAAUAACAAUUAUUUAGGUCUAAAACUAAUCCCGAAUGUAGAUGUAGAGGUAGCGUGCCGACGGCGAUCACAUUGACUUUGGAACCAUUUCCCACGCGCAUCGUCACCUCAUCCUUAGCCAAUCUUCGCUUAAUCCGUAGCCCCUGUUUCGAGUUGCAAAUAUAGCAACAGAACCAGUAUCAAAUACCCAGGUGCUACUGCGAGUAUUAGUAAGGUACACAUCAAUAACAUGUAUAUCACAUAUACCUUUGUUAACCUUGCCAUCCUUCUUAUCUGCCAAAUACUUGGGGCAGUUCCGCUUCCAGUGACCAGUCUGCUUACAGUAGAAGCACUCAGUUUCAGGCUUAGGUCCAGACUUGGAUUUCUUCUCCUGAACAGCAACUUGCUUGCUGUUCUUCUUGAAGUUCCUUUUCUUCUUCCCUUUGCCCUUUUUCUUGAAACUAGUGGUUUUACUGACCAUCAACACUUGAUGCUCCUUUUUGAUUUCUACCUCCGCUGCCUUUAGCAUUGCGAAGAGCUCGGGAAUUGUCUUAUCCAUCCCUUGCAUGUUAUAGUUCAUCACGAAGCUCUUGUAGCUUGGUGGCAGUGAUUGAAGAAUUCUGUCAAUGACGCAAUCAUCCGGAAGUUGAACUCCCAGUUGAAUCAAGUGAUUAUUAUACCCAGACAUUCUGAGUAUAUGCUCACUAACAGAACUAUUCUCUUCCAUCUUGCAGCUAUAGAACUUAUUGGAGACUUCAUAUCUCUCAAUCCAGGCAUUUGCUUCAAAUAUUAACUUCAACACCUGGAACAUCUCAUAUGCUCCAUGACGUUCAAAACGUCGUUGAAGGCCCGGUUCUAAGCCGUAAAGCAUGGCACACUGAACUAUUUUGUAGUCAUCAACUUUGCUCUGCCAGACGUUCAUAACUUCUGGCGUAGCUCUUGCAGGAGGCCUGGCACCUAGCGGUGCUUCCAGGAUGUAAUUCUUCUGUGCAGCAAUGAGGAUAAUCCUCAAGUUAUGGACCCAGUCCGUGUAAUUGCUACAAUCAUCUUCCAACUUAGCUUUCUCAAGGAACACAUUAAAAUUCAACGGAACAACAGCACGGGCCAUUUAUCUACAAUUAACAUAGACAAGCAAGAUACUAUCAGGUACUAAGUUCAUGAUAAAUUUAAGUUCAAUUAAUCAUAUUACUUAAGAACUCCCACUUAGAUAGAUAUCCCUCUAAUCAUCUAAGUGAUUACGUGAUCCAAAUCAACUAAACCUUGUCCGAUCAUCACGUGAGAUGGAGUAGUUUCAAUGGUGAACAUCACUAUGUUGAUCAUAUCUACUAUAUGAUUCACGCUCGACCUUUCGGUCUCUGUGUUCCGAGGCCAUAUCUGCAUAUGCUAGGCUCGUCAAGUUUAACCUGAGUAUUCCGCGUGUGCAACUGUUUUGCACCCGUUGUAUUUGAACGUAGAGCCUAUCACACCCGAUCAUCACGUGGUGUCUCAGCACGAAGAACUUUCGCAACGGUGCAUACUCAGGGAGAACACUUUUAUCUUGAAAUUUUAGUGAGAGAUCAUCUUAUAAUGCUACCGUCAAUCAAAGCAAGAUAAGAUGCAUAAAGGAUUAACAUCACAUGCAAUCAAUAUAAGUGAUAUGAUAUGGCCAUCAUCAUCUUGUGCUUGUGAUCUCCAUCCCCGAAGCAACGUGCUUGUGAUCUCCAUCUUCGAAGCACCGUUAUGAUCACCAUCGUUACCGGCGCACCGUGUUCGUGAUCUCCAUCUCCGAAGCACCGUGCCCGUGAUCUCCAUCUCCGAAGCACCGUCAUGAUCACCAUCGUCACCGGCGCGACACCUUGAUCUCCAUCGUAGCAUCGUUGUCAUCUCGCCAACUAUUUGCUUUUACGACUAUCGCUACCGCUUAGUGAUAAAGUAAAACUAUUACACGGCGAUUGCAUCUCAUACAAUAAAGCGACAACCAUAUGGCUCCUGCCAGUUGCCGAUAACUCGGUUACAAAACAUGAUCAUCUCAUACAACAAAUUAUAUCACAUCAUGUCUUGACCAUAUCACAUCACAACAUGCCCUGCAAAAACAAGUUAGACGUCCUCUACUUUGUUGUUGCAAGUUUUACGUGGCUGCUACGGGCUUAGGAAGAACCGUUCUUACCUACGCAUCAAAACCACAACGAUAGUUUGUCAAGUUGGUGUUGUUUUAACCUUCGCAAGGACCGGGCAUAGCCACACUCGGUUCAACUAAAGUGACAGAGAGAGACACCCGCCGGUCACCUUUAAGCAACGAGUGCUCGCAACGGUGAAACCAGUCUCGCGUAAGCGUACGCGUAAUGUCAGUCCGGGCCGCUUCAUCUCACAAUACCGCUGAACCAAAGUAUGACAUGCUGGUAAGCAGUAUGACUUAUAUCGCCCACAACUCACUUGUGUUCUACUCGUGCAUAGCAUCAACGCAUAAAACCUGGCUCGGAUGCCACUGUUGGGGAACGUAGUAAUUUCAAAAAAAAAUCCUACGCACACGCAAGAUCAUGGUGAUGCAUAGCAACGAGAGGGGAGAGUGUUGUCCACGUACCCUCGUAGACCGACAGCGGAAGUGUUAUCACAACGCGGUUGAUGUAGUCGUACGUCUUCAUGAUCCGACCGAUCAAGUACCGGACGCACGGCACCUCCGAAGUUCUACACACGUUCAGCUCGAUGACGUCCCUCAAACUCCGAUCCAGCCGAGUGUUGAGGGAGAGUUUCGUCAGCACGACGGCGUGGUGACGAUGAUGAUGUUCCACCGACGCAGGGCUUCGCCUAAGCUCCGCGACGGUAUUAUCGAGGUGUAAUCUGGUGGAGGGGGGCACCGCACACGGCUAAAAUAUCGUAUAUCAAGUGUGUCCAUGGGGUGCCCCUGCCCCCGUAUGUAAAGGAGCAAGGGAGCAGGAGGCCGGCCCUAGGAGGGGGCGCACCAAGUGUGGAGUCCUACUAGGACUCCCUAGUCCUAGUAGGAUUCCACCUCCCAUAUGGAAUAGGAAAAGAGGAAGGGAAAAAGAGAAGGAAGGAAGGGGGCGCCCCCCAUUCCCUAGUCCAAUUCGGACCAGACCAAGGGGAGGGGUGCGGCCACCCUUGAGGCCCUUUUCCUUCUUUCCCGUAUGGCCCAAUAAGGCCCAAUACGUAUUCCCGUAACUCUCCGGUACUCCGAAAAAUACCCGAAUCACUCGGAACCUUUCCGAAGUCCGAAUAUAGUCGUCCAAUAUAUCGAUCUUUAUGUCUCGACCAUUUCGAGACUCCUCGUCAUGUCCCCGAUCUCAUCCGGGACUCCGAACUCCUUCGGUACAUCAACAUACAUAAACUCAUAAUAAAACUGUCAUUGUAACUUUAAGCGUGCGGACCCUUUGGGUUCGAGAACUAUGUAGACAUGACCGAGACACCUCUCCGGCCAAUAACCAAUAGCGGGACCUGGAUGCCCAUAUUGGCUCCCACAUAUUCUACGAAGAUCUUUAUCGGUCAGACCGCAUAACAACGUACGUUGUUCCCUUUGUCAUCGGUAUGUUACUUGCCCGAGAUUCGAUCGUCGGUAUCUCGAUACCUAGUUCAAUCUCGUUACCGGCAAGUCUCUUUACUCGUUCCAUAAUACAUCAUCCCGCAACUAAAUCAUUAGUCACAAUGCUUGCAAGGCUUAUAGUGAUGUGCAUUACCGAGUGGGCCCAGAGAUACCUCUCCGACAAUCAGAGUGACAAAUCCUAAUCUCGAAAUACGCCAACCCAACAAGUACCUUUGGAGACACCUGUAGAGCACCUUUAUAAUCACCCAGUUACGUUGUGACGUUUGGUAGCACACAAAGUGUUCCUCCGGUAAACGGGAGUUGCAUAAUCUCAUAGUCAUAGGAACAUGUAUAAGUCAUGAAGAAAGCAAUAGCAACAUACUAAACGAUCGAGUGCUAGGCUAACGGAAUGGGUCAAGUCAAUCACGUCAUUCUACUAAUGAGGUGAUCCCGUUAAUCAAAUGACAACUCAUGUCUAUGGCUAGGAAACAUAACCAUCUUUGAUUAACGAGCUAGUCAAGUAGAGGCAUACUAGUGACACUCUGUUUGUCUAUGUAUUCACACAUGUAUUAUGUUUCCGGUUAAUACAAUUCUAGCAUGAAUAAUAAACAUUUAUCAUGAUAUAAGGAAAUAUAUAAUACUUUAUUAUUGCCUCUAGGGCAUAUUUCCUUCAGUCGCGCCGGUGAUGAUGGUGAUCAUGACGGUGCUUCGGAGAUGGAGAUCACGAACACGGUGCUUCGGAGAUGGAGAUCACGAACACGGUGCGCCGGUAACGAUGGUGAUCAUAACGGUGCUUCGAAGAUGGAGAUCACAAGCACGUUGCUUCGGGGAUGGAGAUCACAAGCACAAGAUGAUGAUGGCCAUAUCAUAUCACUUAUAUUGAUUGCAUGUGAUGUUAAUCCUUUAUGCAUCUUAUCUUGCUUUGAUUGACGGUAGCAUUAUAAGAUGAUCUCUCACUAAAAUUUCAAGAUAAAAGUGUUCUCCCUGAGUAUGCACCGUUGCGAAAGUUCUUCGUGCUGAGACACCACGUGAUGAUCGGGUGUGAUAGGCUCUACGUUCAAAUACAACGGGUACAAAACAGUUGCACACGCGGAAUACUCAGGUUAAACUUGACGAGCCUAGCAUAUGCAGAUAUGGCCUCGGAACACAGAGACCGAAAGGUCGAGCAUGAAUCAUAUAGUAGAUAUGAUCAACAUAGUGAUGUUCACCAUUGAAACUACUCCAUCUCACGUGAUGAUUGGACAUGGUUUAGUUGAUUUGGAUCACGUAAUCACUUAGAUGAUUAGAGGGAUAUCUAUCUAAGUGGGAGUUCUUAAGUAAUAUGAUUAAUUGAACUUAAAUUUAUCAUGAACUUAGUACCUGAUAGUAUCUUGCUUGUCUAUGUUAAUUGUAGAUAAAUGGCCCGUGCUAUUGUUCCAUUGAAUUUUAAUGCGUUCCUUGAGAAAGCUAAGUUGAAAGAUGAUGCUAGCAAUUACACGGACUGGGUCCGUAACUUGAGGAUUAUCCUCAUUGCUGCACAGAAGAAUUACAUCCUGGAAGCACUGCUAGGUGCCAGGCCUCCUGUAAGAGAUAUGCCAGAAGUUAUGAACGUCUGGCAGAGCAAAGCUGAUGACUACUCAAUAGUUCAGUGUGCCAUGCUUUACGGCUUAGAAUCGGGCCUUCAAUGACGUUUUGAACGUCAUGGAGCAUAUGAGAUGUUCCAGGAGUUGAAGUUAAUAUUUCAAGCAAAUGCCCGGAUUGAGAGAUAUGAAGUCUCCAAUAAGUUCUAUAGCUGCAAGAUGGAAGAGAAUAGUUCUGUCAGUGAGCAUAUACUCAGAAUGUCUGGGUAUAAUAAUCACUUGAUUCAACUGGGAGUUCAACUUCCGGAUGAUUGCGUCAUUGACAGAAUUCUUCAAUCACUGCCACCAAGCUACAAGAGCUUCGUGAUGAACUAUAACAUGCAAGGGAUGGAUAAGACAAUUCCCGAGCUCUUCGCAAUGCUAAAGGCAGCGGAGGUAGAAAUCAAAAAGGAGCAUCAAGUGUUGAUGGUCAGUAAAACCACUAGUUUCAAGAAAAAGGGCAAAGGGAAGAAGAAAAGGAACUUCAAGAAGAACAGCAAGCAAGUUGCUGUUCAGGAGAAGAAAUCCAAGUCUGGACCUAAGCCUGAAACUGAGUGCUUCUACUGUAAGCAGACUGGUCACCGGAAGCGGAACUGCCCCAAGUAUUUGGCGGAUAAGAAGGAUGGCAAGGUUAACAAAGGUAUAUGUGAUAUACAUGUUAUUGAUGUGUACCUUACUAAUACUCGCAGUAGCACCUAGGUAUUUGAUACUGGUUCUGUUGCUAAUAUUUGCAACUCGAAACAGGGGCUACGGAUUAAGCGAAGAUUGGCUAAGGAUGAGGUGACGAUGCGCGUGGGAAAUAGUUCCAAAGUCGAUGUGAUCGCCGUCGGCACGCUACCUCUACAUCUACCUUUGGGAUUAGUUUUAGACCUAAAUAAUUGUUAUUUGGUGCCAGCGUUGAGCAUGAACAUUAUAUCUGGAUCUUGUUUAAUGCGAGACGUUAUUCAUUUAAAUCAGAGAAUAAUGGUUGUUCUAUUUAUAUGAAUAAUAUCUUUUAUGGUCAUGCACCCUUGAAGAGUGGUCUAUUUUUAAUGAAUCUCGAUAGUAGUGAUACACAUAUUCAUAAUGUCGAAGCCAAAAGAUGCAAAGUUAAUAAUGACAGUGCAACUUAUUUGUGGCACUGCUGUUUGGGUCAUAACGGUGUAAAGCGCAUGAAGAAACUCCAUACUAAUGGAAUUUUGGAAUCACUUGAUUUUGAAUCACUUGGUACUUGCGAACCGUGCCUCAUGGGCAAGAUGACCAAAACACCGUUCUCCGGAACUAUGGAGAGAGCAACAGAUUUGUUGGAAAUCAUACAUACAGAUGUAUGUGGUCCAAUGAAUAUUGAGGCUCGUGGCGGAUAUCGUUAUUUUCUCACCUUCACAAAUGAUUUGAGCAGAUAUGGGUAUAUCUACUUAAUGAAACAUAAGUCUGAAACAUUUGAAAAGUUCAAAGAAUUUCAGAGUGAAGUUGAAAACCAUUGUAACAAGAAAAUAAAAUUCCUACGAUCUGAUCGUGGAGGAGAAUAUUUGAGUUACGAGUUUGGCCUACAUUUGAAACAAUGCGGAAUAGUUUCGCGACUCACGCCACCCGGAACACCACAGCGUAAUGGUGUGUCCGAACGUCGUAAUCGUACUUUAUUAGAUAUGGUGCAAUUUAUGAUGUCUCUUACUGAUUUACCGCUAUCGUUUUGGGGUUAUGCUUUAGAGACGGCUGCAUUCACUCUAAAUAGGACACCAUCGAAAUCCGUUGAGACGACGCCUUUUGAACUAUGGUUUGGCAAGAAACCAAAGUUGUCGUAUCUUAAAGUUUGGGGUUGCGAUGCUUAUGUGAAGAAACUUCAACCUGAUAAGCUCGAACCUAAAUCGGAGAAAUGUGUCUUCAUAGGAUACCCAAAGGAGACUGUUGGGUACACCUUCUAUCACAGAUCCGAAGGCAAGAUAUUCGUUGCUAAGAAUGGAUCCUUUCUAGAGAAGGAGUUUCUCUCGAAAGAUGUGAGUGGGAGGAAAGUAGAACUUGAUGAGGUAACUGUACCUGCUCCCUUAUUAGAAAGUAGAUCAUCGCAGAAAUCAGUUUCUGUGACACCUACACCAAUUAGUGAGGAAGUUAAUGAUAAUGAUCACGAAACUUCAGAUCAAGUUAUUACUGAACUUCGUAGGUUAACUAGAUCAAGAUCCACACCAGAGUGGUACGGUAAUCCUGUUCUGGAGGUCAUGUUACUAGAUCAUGGCGAACCUACAAACUAUGAAGAAGCAAUGGUGAGCCCAGAUUCCGCAAAAUGGCUUGAAGCCAUGAAAUCCGAGAUGGGAUCCAUGUAUGAGAACAAACUAUGGACUUUGGUUGACUUGCCCGAUGGUCGGCAAGACAUUGAAAACAAAUGGAUCUUCAAGAAGAAGACUGACGCUGAUGGUAAUGUUACUGUCUAUAAAGCUUGACUUGUUGCGAAAGGUUUUCGACAAGUUCAAGGGAUUGACUACGAUGAGACCUUCUCACCCGUAGCGAUGCUUAAGUCUGUCCGAAUCAUGUUAGCGAUUGCCGCAUUUUAUGAUUAUGAAAUUUGGCAAAUGGAUGUCAAAACUGCAUUCCUGAAUGGAUUUCUGGAAGAAGAGUUGUAUAUGAUGCAACCGGAAGGUUUUGUCGAUCCAAAGGGAGCUAACAAAGUGUGCAAGCUCCAGCGAUCCAUUUAUGGACUGGUGCAAGCCUCUCGGAGUUGGAAUAAACGCUUUGAUAGUGUGAUCAAAGCAUUUGGUUUUAUACAGACUUUUGGAGAAGCCUGUAUAUACAAGAAAGUGAGUGGGAGCUCGAUAGCAUUUCUGAUAUUAUAUGUGGAUGACAUAUUACUGAUUGGAAAUGAUAUAGAAUUUCUGGAUAGCAUAAAGGGAUACUUGAAUAAGAGUUUUUCAAUGAAAGACCUCGGUGAAGCUGCAUAUAUAUUAGGCAUAAAGAUCUAUAGAGAUAGAUCAAGAUGCUUAAUUGGACUUUCACAAAGCACAUACCUUGACAAAGUUUUGAAGAAGUUCAAAAUGGAUCAAGCAAAGAAAGGGUUCUUGCCUAUACUACAAGGUGUGAGAUUGAGUAAGACUCAAUGCCCGACCAUUGCAGAAGAUAGAGAGAAGAUGAAAGAUGUUCCCUAUGCUUCAGCCAUAGGCUCUAUCAUGUAUGCAAUGCUGUGUACCAGACCUGAUGUGUCCCUUGCUAUAAGUUUAGCAGGGAGGUACCAAAGUAAUCCAGGAGUGGAUCACUGGACAGCGGUCAAGAACAUCCUGAAAUACCUGAAAAGGACUAAGGAUAUGUUUCUCAUUUAUGGAGGUGACAAAGAGCUCAUCGUAAGAGGUUACGUUGAUGCAAGCUUUGACACUGAUCCGGACGAUUCGAAAUCGCAAACCGGAUACGUAUUUACAUUGAACAGUGGAGCUGUCAGUUGGUGCAGUUCUAAGCAAAGUGUCGUGGCGGGAUCUACGUGUGAAGCGGAAUACAUAGCUCCUUUGGAAGCAGCAAAUGAAGGAGUCUGGAUGAAGGAGUUCAUAUCCGAUCUAGGUGUCAUACCUAGUACAUCGGGACCAAUGAAAAUCUUUGUAACAUCCCAAAAUUCUAAAUUUUGGAAUGUUAUAAUAAACAGAUAGAUUGGAUUGAUUGUUUGAUUGAUUGACUGAAAGUGAGUGGAAUUCAAAACUUUUUGAAAGUUAAAUGAGAGGGAAUAAAAGGACUUUCCCAAACUUUCAUUUUGCUUUUGUGAUCUCCAUGAAUUCAAAUUCUUUUCACCACAAAACCCUGGAGAGAAGAUGACAUGACUUCUUCCAUUUAUUUAAAUGACAAGGGGUGUUGAAAAUAUUUGAAAUUUCAUUUGAAAAUAUUCCCAAUGCUGAAACUUUAUGCAACUCAAUGAUUUUCACGAGAGAAGAUAAAAUGACUUCUUCAAAACAUAUGAAAUAUGAGUUGGGAGUUUCAAAGGAUUAAAUUCAAAGUCCCAUUGAAAUUAUUUUCCAAUAUUGGAGUUAUUUGAGUUUUAUUCAAAUUAUUUUUCUCCAAAAUAAAAUAUACAGAAAAUAGGGUAACAUGAUUCCCUACAUUAGAAAAUUGGAGAGAAAUAAAUUUGAAAUCAUUUUGGUAUUUUUAAAAUGAUUUUAUUGGAUUUUAUAAAGGCAGUAGCACUCUUUGUUUUAUUUAAAUUUGUGAGGAUUUUAUUCGACUUCACAAAAAUGUUCACCUUGUAGGAAAUUUUUUCCUGAAAAUUUGGAUAUAUUAUAUGCCUAUAUAAUAUUUUUUAUUAUUUUUGUUUUUCUAGAAAAAUGUUUAUAAAAAAAACUUCUCCCCGAACUGGGCCGGCCCAGCUCCGCGCCGCCUCGCCCGUCGUCCCCGACCGGGACUCCUCCCGGAGUUCGGCGCCGUCCCGCCACCGGCCGCCCCCUUCCCCACGCCACCGCCCUCCCCUGGCCCUUUAAAAGGCGGGCCCCGACUCCGCCGCCUCUCCCCCUCUGGUCGCGCCGCCGCCGCCGGCGAGAUCCGCCGAGCUCCGCCGCCCGAAGCCACCACUCUCGCCGCCGACGACCGCCGUCGUCGCCGCCACCGCACCCACCGCUCCACGCCGCCUCCUCCCUUGCCUUUCGCGGCCUUCCCCGACGACCGGAGCCACCGGACCCGAGCCGCCGCCGCCGCGUCGCUCCGCCUCACCGCCGCACUUCGCCGGGAACCGCCGCCGCCGCCAGUUUAUUUGCCCGAGCCGGUAAAACCCUUAAAACCGCCCGGUCCGGUUUAUUCUUUUAGGCUUUCUGCGGUUUUUCCUUUUAGCCGGUUUUGUUUUUUUUAGAUUAGUUAUUUAAUGAACGUUUUCUGUUUAGGUAGUUCUAGUGAACAGAUUCGUUAGAUAGCGUUCGGUAACGAACGUUCAUUAUUUAGUUUUUUUUCCUGUUUAUUUUUCGCCAGGGACUUAUCUGUGAUGAUUUUAUUUAUAGUUUAGUCCCUGUUCUUCAAACGGUCACAACUUUUUGCUCGUUUGUUCAAAUCCAACGAAACCAAUGCCCACUUCUUCGUUAUGAUCCCCUCUAUCCAGUAAAACAACUUAAACAUGUUUUUGAAAAUUUAAAAUUGGUUUUCAAACAGAUUUGAAUUUGAAUCUUCUUUUGAUCAUAACUUGAGUUUUAUAACUCCGUUUUAGUUGAUUCUUUUUGCUAUUCGAAGCUCUUGACCUAAACUUUCUGAUAAGGCCAAAUGCACAUAAUUUUGGUACUGUUAGAAAUUGUUUUGUGUUGCAAGAGUUAUUUGCUUUCUUUUGAUGUUCUCCGAAGUAUCUUUUUCGUUCUUCUCGAUCUUUUGAGUGAUUGCUUAUGUGUGGUUACUAUUGCUUGCUUACGAUAGAUUGACGGAGUGUGACGAGUAGAUCUAUCAAGAGUUUUGAGUGCGAAUCAUCUUCAUCAACAUUGCAGGCAAGUUCACACUUUGAUCAUAUCCCUUUCAUACCUAGUUUUUAUGCAUUAGAUUCAACCCUCAAACAUUGCAUGGUUAGGACCUAACUAAAUUGUGGGUUUUGGGAAGUAGUUGAGGUAGUACCUAUUACCUAUUUUAUUAUCAAACCCUUGGGAGUUACUUCUACGUUUGCUUAUAUUGCUAUGCUAUGCUCGUAGACGUGGAUUGGGUUUGAGAGAUAUUCAUGACAGAUGUGAGAUUGUUAAUAAUGGUUUACUUAAGGUGGCAACUUAAACACACAUCUGGGUGGAUUGAGGUACCUGGGUAUUCCAGGAUUGCCUGUUUUUCUUUUGGACCGCCACCCAGGUUCAAAGGGAUCAUGAGAUUAUUCAUGCUAGAAACUUCCGUGUGCAGCCGCAAGCUAUUAUGGGCUCUAGCAUAGUUGAUUAAGUCGUGUGAACUCUUACAGUGGUAGACUAGCAGAUGUAGGGGAUGUAGGUGUACCGGUCUACCCAUCGUAAGGUGCUAACGCUUCUGAAAGACUGUGUCUCGGUCAUCCGUUUCUCAAACACCUUGUAGUGCGAGAAAUCCAACGAAGGAGAUCGAGUCUUGUGGGGAAAAGUGCACAAACCUCUGCAGAGUGUACAAACUAAUCAUGAUUAGCCGUGUCCCCGGUUAUGGACAUCCUGAGUAUCUAGUUCUUGGAUUAUCCCGUUGAUCUCAUCAUGUUACUUUAAUUAAUCUUGUUGGGUUAAUGAUGAUACUUAAUUGGGAUUGAGAUGCUGUCAACCAUCUCAAUGUUUCACAACCACCAUGAUAGUUAAAUAAAAUUUAUUCCUUUGCAGUAGGGAAAAAUUGGCUUUUCGCAAAACUGUAACCAUAGAGCUUUUCCACCAGCCCUAUAUGCAUGUAGUGAUAGCCUUUGUUCAUCAUUUCUCCAUGGUGUGAAUUUGCCAGCAUAUUCCAUGUGCUGACCCGUUUUCGGGCUGCAACGUUUCAUGUUGCAGGAUAUCUUACGACGAGUAAGUGAUUCGUUAGGGUUACGAUUUCUACACUCAACUUUGCCGUUGGUGUUGAUGGGAAUCCACAACCUUGUUACUUUCGCUAUUUUGGAUUGAGGUAAUAGUAUUUACGUAACUUUAUACAUGUGAUUUACCUCUGUUAUAAAUCCUCGAGUACUGUGUGUGUCAGCAUACCGAUCCAGGGAUGACACUUAAGCACAGAGACUUGAUCCAUUCGGGUCGGGUCGCUACAAUCUUUUGUGACAAUACUGGUGCAAUUGCCUUAGCAAAGGAAUCCAGAUUUCACAAGAGAACCAAGCACAUCAGAAGAAGCUUCAAUUCCAUCCGGUAUUUAGUCCAGGUGGGAGACAUAGAAAUUUGCAAGAUACAUACGGAUCUGAAUGUUGCAGACCCGCUGACUAAGCCUCUUCCACGAGAAAAACAUGAUCAGCACCAAGACUCCAUGGGUGUGAGAAUCAUUAGUGUGUAAUCUAGAUUAUUGACUCUGGUGCAAGUGGGAGACUGAAGGAAAUAUGCCCUAGAGGCAAUAAUAAAGUAUUAUUUAUUUCCUUAUAUCAUGAUAAAUGUUUAUUAUUCAUGCUAGAAUUGUAUUAACCGGAAACAUAAUACAUGUGUGAAUACAUAGACAAACAGAGUGUCACUAGUAUGCCUCUACUUGACUAGCUCGUUAAUCAAAGAUGGUUAUGUUUCCUAGCCAUAGACAUGAGUUGUCAUUUGAUUAACGGGAUCACCUCAUUAGGAGAAUGACGUGAUUGACAUGACCCAAUCCGUUAGCUUAGCACCCGAUCGUUUAGUAUGUUGCUAUUGCUUUCUUCAUGACUUAUACAUGUUCCUAUGACUAUGAGAUUAUGCAACUCCCGUUUACCGGAGGAACACUUUGUGUGCUACCAAACGUCACAACGUACCUGGGUGAUUAUAAAGGUGCUCUACAGGUGUCUCCAAAGGUACUUGUUGGGUUGGCGUAUUUCGAGAUUAGGAUUUGUCACUCCGAUUGUCGGAGAGGUAUCUCUAGGCCCACUCGGUAAUGCACAUCACUAUAAGCCUUGCAAGCAUUGUAACUAAUGAGUUAGUUGCAGGAUGAUGUAUUACGGAACAAGUAAAGAGACUUGCCGGUAACGAGAUUGAACUAGGUAUCGAGAUACCGACGAUCGAAUCUCGGGCAAGUAACAUACCGAUGACAAAGGGAACAACGUAUGUUGUUAUGCGGUCUGACCGAUAAAGAUCUUCGUAGAAUAUGUGGGAGCCAAUAUGGGCAUCCAGGUCCCGCUAUUGGUUAUUGACCGGAGAGGUGUCUCGGUCAUGUCUACAUAGUUCUCGAACCCGAAGGGUCCGCACGCUUAAAGUUACGAUGACAGUUAUAUUAUGAGUUUAUAUGUUUUGAUGUACCGAAGGUUGUUCGGAGUCCCGGAUGUGAUCACGGACAUGACGAGGAGUCUCGAAAUGGUCGAAAAAUAAAGAUUGAUAUAUUGGACGACUAUAUUCGGAUACCGGAAGUGUUCCGGAGAAGUUUCGGAUUAAACCGGAGUGCCGGAGGGUUACCGGAACCCCCCGGGGAAGUAUUGGGCCUUAGUGGGCCUUGGGGGGAGAGAGAGGGCAGCAGCCAGGAGGUGGCGCACCCCCUCCCAGGAGGAGUCCUAGUUGGACUAGGAGAGGGGGGCGCAGCCCCCUUUCCCUCUCCCUCUCCCUCUCUUUCCUUCCCCUCUUCUUUUCCUAGUAGGACUAGGAAAGGGGAGUCCUACUCCUACUAGGAGGAGGACUCCCCCCCUCUCCUUGGCGCGCCCAUAGGCAGUCGGCCUCCCCCUUGCUCCUUUAUAUACGGGGGCAGGGGGGCACCUCUCUACACACUGGAUAUACGAUAUUUUAGCCGUGUGCGGUGCCCCCCUCCACCAUAUUACACCUCGAUAAUACCGUUGCGGAGCUUAGGCGAAGCCGUGCGUCGGUGGAACAUCAUCAUCGUCACCACGCCGUCGUGCUGACGAAACUCUCCCUCAACACUCGGCUGGAUCGGAGUUCAAGGGACGUCAUCGAGCUGAACGUGUGUAGAACUUGGAGGUGCCGUACGUUCGGUACUUGAUCGGUCGGAUCAUGAAGACGUACGACUACAUCAACCGCGUUGUGAUAACGCUUCCGCUGUUGGUCUACGAGGGUACGUGGACAACACUCUCCCCUCUUGUUGCUAUGCAUCACCAUGAUCUUGCGUGUGCGUAGGAAAUUUUUUGAAAUUACUACGUUCCCCAACAACCUCUCUUUUCUCGAUCUCUCCUUCGACCUCCCUCUGUGGUGGCUAGCUCUAUUUAUAGAGGCCCUGGGCCUCUCCCCAAAUAAUGAGCGGGAAGGGCGCCAACAAUUGGCCAUUUUGAAGGGGAACAUCUAGUACAAGUUAUCCUGACCAAAGGUGGUCUUCGGCUGCCAAAAGCACUGGUGAUGAUGCCGUCUUGGGCUCCACGACGACCUCCGUCCUACCGCUCUGCUGGUCUUGGUCUCGUUGCACCGGAAUGGUAACCUUUGCCCGAUGCCUUGGCCUGUGCUUGCCCCCUUUGCACCAAAGGGGAAACAAGGACACUGCGCAGGGCGGCGCCCGCCUGGCGCCCGCCUGGUCUCGAUCGUCAUGGCUUGCGUCACGGGCUCCUCGCGAGGUAUCCCUGCCUUGAUCUCUCCGCCUUCCUCGCGAGCCUGCCUGAUGAGGCUGCCCUUAGGGAAGCUUCCUGUCGUCCGCCCCGCGAUGGUCUUGAGCUUGAGCUGAUGAAGAUGGGCCGCGCUGGGCCCCCACUUGAGCCACGCCGCAGGCCGCAGGCAGGCAAGUCUGGGGACCCCCGUUCCCAGAACGCCGACAAAUUUGGCUAGCAUGAGAGGGAAAGGCAAGCUCAACAUGUUGGAUGAUCCAUGACAAUGUACUUUAUUUCGGAUAUAAGAAAACAUAACCCAUUACGUUGUCUUCCUUGUCCAACAUCAACCCUUUAGCAUGUCAUAUUUUAAUGAGUGCUCACAAUCAUAAAAGAUGUCCAAGAUAGUAUAUUUAUAUGUGAAAACCUCUCUUUCUUUAUUACCUCCUAUUAAUUGCAAUGAUGACCAAAACUAUGUUUGACAACUCUCAACAACUUUUAUUCACCAUACCCAUUAUAUGUGAAGUCAUUACUCUUCAUAAGAUCAACAUGAUCUCUUUUAUUUCUUUUUAUUCUUUCUUUUUCUUUUAUUCACUCAAGAUCAUAGCAAGAUAAUCAAGCCCUUGACUCAACACUAUUCUUUAUUAUAUAUAGCUCAUGGACUCGAUUACAUAGAAGGAUCAUAAAGCAAAACUCAAAACUAGAUCAUACUAAAACUUUAUUCUACUAGAUCAAGAUAUUACUAAAAGGAUCGAACUAAGAAAAAACGGUAAAGAUAGGAGUGUGAUGGUGAUACGAUACCGGGGCACCUCCCCCAAGCUUGGCAGUUGCCAAGGGGAGUGCCCAUACCCAUGUGAUUAUGCCUCCUUCCUUGGAAGUUGUGGUGAUGGGGUUGUUGAUGAUGUAGGCUUGUCGUCCAUCUUCCAAGGCAUAGGCUCACCAUCACAGAAGGAUGAUCGAGUCUCCGGGAUCCUUAAAUCUGUAGCCAAACUCAUCCUCUUGAAUCUAUAUUCAUACUCAUAGUUUUGGUUUUGCAGGUCAUAGAUCUGGGCUUGGAGGUGCUCGAUUUUCUCAUGAAGCUUGAAGAUGGCCUCCCCAAUGUCCUUGGCGUCCAGCUUGUGGUUGUUGGUAAACUCCGUGAUCAUUAUGUGAUUGGAGUCGAGUCCACGCUCCACCAUCUACUGACACUUGAAAACUUGUUGCUCCAUUGCCUCAAGCCUUGUCUCCACGCUUCCGGUUCUCCUUGGUCCCUCAACAUCGCGGAUGUGUAGCAACCCAUCACGCAUCUCAAUGGUUUGAGAGUGUUGCAACACCUCCGUGAGGUAGGGGUUGAUGACCUUCUCGAAGAACUUGUCCUUGGGGGCGCUUGGAGACGUCAUGGUGACCUGGAUCUGUCAGAAAAUAGCUCGAAACGAAAACAGAGGAUAUUUGCAUGAUACGGUGGUCAAAACCUUCGGGAGAUUAUAUAAUGAAUUUUUACCGACCAUAAGAAGUAUCGUGCAAGAAAACGGAGUCCGGAGAGCACACGAGGUGCCCACGAGGCAGGGGGCGCGCCCAGGGGGGUAGGGCGCGCCUCCCACCCUCGUGGAAGCCUCGUGUUCUUCCCGGACUACUUCUUAUUUUCCUAUUUUCUUAAAUAUUCCAAAACGGAGAAAAAUUGCCAUUAGAGCUGUUUUGGAGUUGGUUUACUUACCGUACCAUGUACCUAUUCCCUUUCAGAGUCUGAAACAUUCCGGAAAGUGUCCCUUAUGUAUUCCUCCGGGGUUACGGUUUCAAUAACAUUAGUUUCAACAUUUAUGGGAUUACCUGAGAUAUAGUGUUUGAUUCUUUGACCGUUUACCACCUUCGGAUUUGUGCCUUCGAAGUUAUUGAUUUUUAUGCCACCGGAACGAUAGACCUCCUCGAUAACAUAAGGACCUUCCCAUUUAGAGAGAAGUUUUCCUGCAAAAAAUCUUAAACGAGAGUUGAAUAGCAACACAUAAUCACCUACAUCAAACUCACGCUUUUGUAUCCUUUUGUCAUGCCAUAUUUUACUUUUUCCUUAAACAAUUUGGCAUUCUCAUAGGCUUGGGUUCUCCAUUCAUCAUAGACAUACCCAUAGGAUUUUUGUAUGCAGUUCUAUAUGCCCACAAUGCAUCAUCAAGUUUCUUGGACCAAUUCUUUCUAGAUCUAUUAACAGUCUUUUGCAAAAUUAAUUUGAGCUCUCUAUUACUCAAUUCUACUUGCCCACUAGACUGCGGAUGAUACGGAGAUGCAAUUCUAUGAUUAACAUCAUAUUUAGCAAGCAUUUUACGAAAAGCACCAUGAAUAAAAUGUGAACCACCAUCAGUCAUUAAAUAUCUAGGGACUCCAAACCUCGGAAAAAUAACUUCUUUAAGCAUCUUAACAGAGGUGUUAUGAUCAGCACUACUAGUUGGAAUAGCUUCUACCCACUUAGUAACGUAAUCAACAGCAACUAAAAUAUGUGUAUACCCAUUAGAGGAAGGAAACGGUCCCAUAUAAUCAAAGCCCCAAACAUCGAAUGGUUCAAUAACAAGCGAAUAAUUCAUAGGCAUCUCUUGAAGUCUACUAAUAUUACCAAUUCUUUGACAUUCAUCACAAGACAAGACAAACUUACGGGCAUCUUUGAAGAGAGUAGGCCAAUAAAAACCGGGUUGCAAUACCUUAUGUGCAGUUCUAUCUCCAGCGUGGUGUCCUCCAUAAGCUUUGGAGUGACACUUGCGUAGGAUCUGUUCCUGUUCAUGCUUAGGUAUACAACGUCUAAUAACACCAUCUACUCCUUUAUAAAGGUGUGGGUCAUCCCAGAAGUAAUGUCUUAAAUCAUAGAAAAACUUUUUCUUUUGCUGUUAUGUGAAACUAGGUGGUAUUGAAGGAAAUAUGCCCUAGAGGCAAUAAUAAAGUUAUUAUUUAUUUCCUUAUAUCAUGAUAAAUGUUUAUUAUUCAUGCUAGAAUUGUAUUAACCGGAAACAUAAUACUUGUGUGAAUACAUAGACAAACAGAGUGUCACUAGUAUGCCUCUACUUGACUAGCUCGUUGAUCAAAGAUGGUUAUGUUUCCUAGCCAUAGACACGAGUUGUCAUUUGAUUAACGGGAUCACAUCAUUAGAAGAAUGAUGUGAUUGACUUGACCCAUUCCAUUAGCUUAGCACACGAUUGUUUAGUAUUCUGCUAUUCCUUUCUUCAUGACUUAUACAUGUUCCUAUGACUAUGAGAUUAUGCAACUCCUGUUUACCGGAGGAACACUUUGUGUGCUACCAAAUGUCACAACGUAACUGGGUGAUUAUAAAGGUGCUCUACAGGUGUCUCCGAAGGUACUUGUUGGGUUGGCGUAUUUCGAGAUUAGGAUUUGUCACUCCGAUUGUCGGAGAGGUAUCUCUGGGCCCACUCGGUAAUGCACAUCACUUAAGCCUGCAAACAUUGCAGCUAAUGAGUUAGUUGCGGGAUGAUGUAUUACGGAAUGAGUAAAGAGACUUGCCGAUAACGAGAUUGAACUAGGUAUUGAGAUACCGACGAUCGAAUCUCGGGCAAGUAACAUACUGAUGACAAAGGGAACGACGUAUGUUGUUAUGCGGUUUGACCGAUAAAGAUCUUCGUAGAAUAUGUGGGAGCCAAUAUGAGCAUCCAGGUUCCGCUAUUGGUUAUUGGCCGGAGACGUGUCUCGGUCAUGUCUACAUAGUUCUCGAACCCAUAGGGUCCGCACGCUUAAAGUUUCGAUGACGGUUAUAUUAUGAGUUUAUAUGUUUUGAUGUACCGAAGGUAGUUCGGAGUCCCGGAUGUGAUCACGGACAUGACGUCGAGUCUCGAAAUGGUCGAGACAUGAAGAUUGAUAUAUUGGACGACUAUAUUCGGACACCGGAAUGGUUCCGGGGGUUAUCGGAUAUAUACCGGAGUACCGGGAGGUUACCGGAACCCCCCGGGGGAUUAAUGGGCCUUCAUGGGCCUUAGUGGAGAAGAGGAGAGGCGGCUAGGGCAGGCCGCGCGCCCCCUCCCCUCUAGUCCGAAUUGGACAAGGAGGGGGGCGGCGCCCCCCCUUUCCUUCCUCUCUCUCUCUCCUCUUUCCCCCUUCUCCUAAUCCAACAAGGAAGGGAGGGAGUCCUACUCCCGGUAGGAGUAGGACUCCUCCUGGCGCGCCCCUCUCCUGGCCGGCCGCCUCUCCCCCCUUGCUCCUUUAUAUACGGGGGCAGGGGGCAUCCUAGAGACACAACAACUGAUCAUUGAUCUUUUUAGCCGUGUGCGGUGCCCCCCUCCACCAUAGUCCACCUUGAUAAUAUCGUAGCGGUGCUUAGGCGAAGCCCUGCGUCGAUAGAACAUCAUCAUCGUCACCACGCUGUCGUGCUGACGAAACUCUCCCUCAACACUCGGCUGGAUCGGAGUUCGAGGGACGUCAUCGGGCUGAACGUGUGCUGAACUCGGAGGUGACGUGCGUUUGGUACUUGAUCGGUCGGAUCGUGAAAACGUACGACUACAUCAACCGCGUUGUGCUAACGCUUCCGCUUUCGGUCUACGAGGGUACGUGGACACACUCUCCCCUCUCGUUGCUGUGCAUCACCAUGAUCUUGCGUGUGCGUAGGAAUUUUUUUGAAAUUACUACGUUCCCCAACGGUGGCAUCCGAGCCAGGUUUUAUGCGUUGAUGUUAUUUGCACGAGUAGAACACAAGUGAGUUGUGGGCGAUACAAGUCAUACUGCUUACCAGCAUGUCAUACUUUGGUUCAGCGGUAUUGUUGGAUGAAGCGGCCCGGACCGACAUUACGCGUACGCUUACGCGAGACUGGUUCUACCGACGUGCUUUGCACAUAGCUGGCUGGCGGGUGUCAGUUUCUCCAACUUUAGUUGAACCGCGUGUGGCUACGCCCGGUCCUUGAGAAGGUUAAAACAGCACUAACUUGACGAACUAUCGUUGUGGUUUUGAUGCGUAGGUAAGAACGGUUCUUGCUAAGCCCGUAGCCGCCACGUAAAACUUGCAACAACAAAGUAGAGGACGUCUAACUUGUUUUUGCAGGGCAUGUUGUGAUGUGAUAUGGUCAAGGCAUGAUGCUAAAUUUUAUUGUAUGAGAUGAUCAUGUUUUGUAACCGAGUUAUCGGCAACUGGCAGGAGCCAUAUGGUUGUCGCUUUAUUGUAUGCAAUGCAAUCGCCCCGUAAUGCUUUACUUUAUCACUAAGCGGUAGCGAUAGUCGUAGAAGCAUAAGAUUGGCGAGACGACAACGAUGCUAUGAUGGAGAUCAAGGUGUCGCGCUGGUGACUAUGGUGAUCAUGACGAUGCUUCGGAGAUGGAGAUCACAAGCACAAGAUGAUGAUAGCCAUAUCAUAUCACUUAUAUUGAUUGCAUGUGAUGUUUAUCUUUUAUGCAUCUUAUCUUGCUUUGAUUGACGGUAGCAUUAUAAGAUGAUCUCUCACUAAAUUAUCAAGGUAUAAGUGUUCUCCCUGAGUAUGCACCGUUGCAAAAGUUCUUCGUGCUGAGACACCACGUGAUGAUCGGGUGUGAUAGGCUCUACGUUCAAAUACAACGGGUGCAAAACAGUUGCACACGCGGAAUACUCAGGUUAAACUUGACGAGCCUAGCAUAUAACAGAUAUGGCCUCGGAACACGGAGACCGAAAGGUCGAGCAUGAAUCAUAUAGUAGAUAUGAUCAACAUAGUGAUGUUCACCAUUGAAACUACUCCAUCUCACGUGAUGAUCGGACAAGGUUUAAUUGAUAUGGAUCACGUGAUCACUUAGAGGAUUAGAGGGAUGUCUAUCUAAGUGGGAGUUCUUAAGUAAUAUGAUUAAUUUAACUUAAAUUUAUCAUGAACUUAGUACCUGAUAGUAUCUUGCUUGUCUAUGUUGUUGUAGAUAGAUGGCCCGUGCUGUUGUUCCGUUGAAUUUUAAUGCGUUCCUUGAGAAAGCAAAGUUGAAAGAUGAUGGUAGCAAUUACACGGACUGGGUACAUAACUUGAGGAUUAUCCUCAUUGUUGCACAGAAAAAUUACAUCCUGGAAGCACCGCUAGGUGUACCACCUGCGCCAGCAACUGCAGACAUUGUGAAUGCCUGGCAGUCACGUGUUGAUGCCUACUCGAUAGUUCAGCGUGCCAUGCUUUACGACUUAGAACCGGGACUUCAACGACGUUUUGAACGUCAUGGAGCAUAUGAGAUGUUCCGGGAGUUGAAGUUAAUAUUUCAAGCAAAUGCCCGGAUUGAGAGAUAUGAAGUCUCCAAUAAAUUCUACAGCUGCAAGAUGGAGGAGAAUAGUUCUGUCAGUGAGCAUAUACUCAGAAUGUCUGGGUACUGCAAUCACUUGAUUCAACUGGGAGUUAAUCUUCCGGAUGAUAGCGUCAUUGACAGAAUUCUUCAAUCACUGCCACCAAGCUACAAGAGCUUCGUGAUGAACUAUAACAUGCAAGGAAUGGAUAAGACGAUUCCCGAGCUCUUCGCAAUGCUAAAGGCUGCGGAGGUAGAAAUCAAGAAGGAGCAUCAAGUGUUGAUGGUCAACAAGACACCAGUUUCAAGAAAAAGGGCAAAGGGAAGAAGAAGGGGAACUUCAAGAAGAACAGCAAACAAGUUGUUGCUCAGGAGAAGAAACCCAAGUCUGGACCUAAGCCUGAGACUGAGUGCUUCUACUGCAAGCAGACUGGUCACUGGAAGCGGAACUGCCCCAAGUAUUUGGCGGAUAAGAAGGAUGGCAAGGUAAACAAAGGUAUAUGUGAUAUACAUGUUAUUGAUGUGUACCUUACUAAUGCUCGCAGUAGCACCUGGGUAUUUGAUACUGGUUCUAUUGCUAAUAUUUGCAACUUGAAACAGGGACUACGGAUUAAGCGAAGAUUGGCUAAGGACGAGGUGACGAUGCGCGUGGGAAAUGGUUCCAAAGUCGAUGUGAUCGCGGUCGGCACGCUACCUCUACAUCUACCUUCGGGAUUAGUUUUAGACCUAAACAAUUGUUAUUUGGUGCCAGCGUUGAGCAUGAACAUUAUAUCUGGAUCUUGUUUGAUACGAGACGGUUAUUCAUUUAAAUCAGAGAAUAAUGGUUGUUCUAUUUAUAUCAGUAAUAUCUUUUAUGGUCAUGCACCCUUGAAGAGUGGUCUAUUUUUGUUGAAUCUCGAUAGUAGUGAUACACAUAUUCAUAAUAUUGAAGCCAAAAGAUGCAGAGUUGAUAAUGAUAAUGCAACUUAUUUGUGGCACUGUCGUUUAGGUCAUAUCGGUGUAAAGCGCAUGAAGAAACUCCAUACUGAUGGACUUUUGGAACCACUUGAUUAUGAAUCACUUGGUACUUGCAAACCGUGCCUCAUGGGCAAGAUGACUAAAAUGCCGUUCUCCGGAACUAUGGAGCGAGCAACAGAUUUGUUGGAAAUCAUACAUAUAGAUGUAUGUGGUCUGAUGAAUGUUGAAGCUCGCAGCGGGUAUCGUUAUUUUCUCACCUUCACAGAUGAUUUAAGCAGAUAUGGGUAUAUCUACUUAAUGAAACAUAAGUCUGAAACAUUUGAAAAGUUCAAAGAAUUUCAGAGUGAAGUUGAAAAUCAUCGUAACAAGAAAAUAAAGUUUCUACGAUCUGAUCGUGGAGGAGAAUAUUUGAGUUGAGUUUGGUCUUCAUUUGAAACAAUGCGGAAUAGUUUCGCAACUCACGCCACCCGGAACACCACAGCGAAAUGGUGUGUCCGAACGUCGUAAUCGUACUUUACUAGAUAUGGUGCGACCUAUGAUGUCUCUUACUGAUUUACCGCUAUCAUUUUGGGGAUAUGCUUUAGAGACGGCUGCAUUCACGUUAAAUAGGACACCAUCGAAAUCCGUUGAGGCGAUGCCUUAUGAACUGUGGUUUGGCAAGAAACCAAAGUUGUCGUUUCUUAAAGUUUGGGGCUGCGAUACUUAUGUGAAAAAGCUUCAACCUGAUAAGCUCGAACCCAAAUCGGAGAAAUGUGUCUUCAUAGGAUACCCAAAAGAGACUGUUGGGUACACCUUCUAUCACAGAUCCGAAGGCAAGACUUUUGUUGCUAAAUUUGGAAUCUUUCUAGAGAAGGAGUUUCUCUCGAAAGAAGUGAGUGGGAGGAAAGUAGAACUUGAUGAGGUAACUGUACCUGCUCCCUUAUUGGAAAGUAGUUCAUCACAGAAACCGGUUUCUGUGACACCUACACCAAUUAGUGAGGAAGUUAAUGAUGAUGAUCAUGAAACUUCAGAUCAAGUUGUUACUGAACCUCGUAGAUCAACCAGAGUAAGAUCCGCACCAGAGUGGUAUGAUAAUCCUGUUCUGGAAGUCAUGUUACUAGACCAUGAUGAACCUACGAACUAUGAAGAAGCAAUGGUGAGCCCAGAUUCCGCAAAAUGGCUUGAGGCCAUGAUAUCUGAGAUGGGAUCCAUGUAUGAGAACAAAGUGUGGACUUUGCUUGACUUGCCCGAUGAUCGGAAAGCCAUUGAGAAUAAAUGGAUCUUCAAGAAGAAGACUGACGCUGACGGUAAUGUAACUGUCUAUAAAGCUCGACUUGUUGCGAAAGGUUUUCGACAAAUUCAAGGGAUUGACUACGAUGAGACUUUCUCACCCGUAGCGAUGCUUAAGUCUGUCCGAAUCAUGUUAGCAAUUGCCGCAUUUUAUGAUUAUGAAAUUUGGCAAAUGGAUGUAAAAACUGCAUUCCUGAAUGGAUUUCUAGAAGAAAAGUUGUAUAUGAUGCAACCGGAAGGUUUUGUCGAUCCAAAAGGAGCUAACAAAGUGUGCAAGCUCCAGCGAUCCAUUUAUGGACUGGUGCAAGCCUCUCGGAGUUGGAAUAAAUGCUUUGAUAGUGUGAUCAAAGCAUUUGGUUUUAUACAGACUAUUGGAGAAGCCUGUAUUUACAAGAAAGUAAGUGGGAGCUCUAUAGCAUUUCUGAUAUUAUAUGUGGAUGACAUAUUACUGAUUGGAAAUGAUAUAGAAUUUCUGGAUAGCGUAAAGGGAUACUUGAAUAAGAGUUUUUAAUGGAAGACCUCGGUGAAGCUGCUUAUAUAUUGGGCAUCAAGAUCUAUAGAGAUAGAUCAAGACGCUUAAUUGGACUUUCACAAAGCACAUACCUUGACAAAGUUUCGAAGAAGUUUAAAAUGGAUCAAGCAAAGAAAGGGUUCUUGCCUGUGUUACAAGGUGUGAAAUUGAGUAAGACUCAAUGCUCGACCACUGCAGAAGAUAGAGAGAAGAUGAAAGAUGUUCCCUAUGCUUCAGCCAUAUGCUCUAUCAUGUAUGCAAUGCUGUGUACCAGACCUGAUGUGUGCCUUGCUAUAAGUUUAACAGGGAGGUACCAAAGUAAUCCAGGAGUGGAUCACUGGACAGCGGUCAAGAACAUCCUGAAAUACCUGAAAAUACUAAGGAUAUGUUUCUCGUUUAUGGAGGUGACAAAGAGCUAGUCGUAAAUGGUUACGUCGAUGCAAGCUUUGACACUGAUCCGGACGAUUCUAAAUCGCAAACCGGAUACGUGUUUACAUUGAACGGUGGAGCUAUCAGUUGGUGCAGUUCUAAACAAAGCGUUGUGGCGGGAUCUACGUGUGAAGCGGAAUACAUAGCUGCUUCGGAAGCAGCAAAUGAAGGAGUCUGGAUGAAGGAGUUCAUAUCCGAUCUAGGUGUCAUACCUAGUGCAUCGGGUCCAAUGAAAAUCUUUUGUGACUAUACUGGUGCAAUUGCCUUGGCAAAGGAAUCCAGAUUUCACAAGAGAACCAAGCACAUCAAGAGACGCUUCAAUUCCAUCCGGGAUCUAGUCCAGGUGGGAGACAUAGAAAUUUGCAAGAUACAUACGGAUCUGAAUGUUGCAGACCCGUUGACUAAGCCUCUUCCACGAGCAAAACAUAAUCAGCACCAAGGCUCCAUGGGUGUUAGAAUCAUUACUAUGUAAUCUAGAUUAUUGACUCUAGUGCAAGUGGGAGACUGAAGGAAAUAUGCCCUAGAGGCAAUAAUAAAGUUAUUAUUUAUUUCCUUAUAUCAUGAUAAAUGUUUAUUAUUCAUGCUAGAAUUGUAUUAACCGGAAACAUAAUAGUUGUGUGAAUACAUAGACAAAUAGAGUGUCACUAGUAUGACUCUACUUGACUAGCUCGUUGAUCAAAGAUGGUUAUGUUUCCUAGCCAUAGACAUGAGUUGUCAUUUGAUUAACGGGAUCACAUCAUUAGAAAAAUGAUGUGAUUGACUUGACCCAUUCUGUUAGCUUAGCACACGAUCGUUUAGUAUUCUGCUAUUGCUUUCUUCAUGACUUAUACAUGUUCCUAUGACUAUGCGAUUAUGCAACUCCCGUUUACCGGAGGAACACUUUGUGUGCUACCAAACGUCACAACGUAACUGGGUGAUUAUAAAGGUGCUCUACAGGUGUCUCCGAAGGUACUUGUUGGGUUGGCGUAUUUCGAGAUUAGGAUUUGUCACUCCGAUUGUCGGAGAGGUAUCUCUGGGCCCACUCGGUAAUGCACAUCACUUAAGCCUUGCAAGCAUUGCAACUAAUGAGUUAGUUGCGGGAUGAUGUAUUAUGGAACGAGUAAAGAGACUUGCCGGUAACGAGAUUGAACUAGGUAUUGAGAUACCGACGAUCGAAUCUCGGGCAAGUAACAUACCGAUGACAAAGGGAACAACGUAUGUUGUUAUGCGGUUUGACCGAUAAAGAUCUUCGUAGAAUAUGUGGGAGCCAAUAUGAGCAUCUAGGUUCCGCUAUUGGUUAUUGGCCGGAGACGUGUCUCGGUCAUGUCUACAUAGUUCUCGAACCCGUAGGGUCCGCACGCUUAAAGUUUCGAUGACGGUUAUAUUAUGAGUUUAUAUGUUUUGAUGUACCUAAGGUAGUUCGGAGUCCCGGAUGUGAUCACGGACAUGAUGAGGAGUCUCGAAAUGGUUGAGACAUGAAGAUUGAUAUAUUGGACGACUAUAUUCGGACACCGGAAUGGUUCCGGGGGUUAUCGGAUAUAUACCGGAGUACCGGGAGGUUACCGGAACCCCCCGGGGGAUUAAUGGGCCUUCAUGGGCCUUAGUGGAGAAGAGGAGAGGCGGCCAGGGCAGGCCGCGCGCCCCCUCCCCUCUAGUCCGAAAUGGACAAGGAGGGGGGGCGGCGCCCCCCUUUCCUUCCUCUCUCCUCUUUCCCCACUUCUCCUAAUCCAACAAGGAAGGGAGGGAGUCCUACUCCCGGUAGGAGUAGGACUCCUCCUGGCGCGCCCCUCUCCUGGCCGGCCGCCUCUCCCCCCUUGCUCCUUUAUAUACGGGGGCAGGGGGCACCCUAGAGACACAACAAUUGAUCAUUGAUCUUUUUAGCCGUGUGCGGUGCCCCCCUCCACCAUAGUCCACCUCGAUAAUAUCGUAGCUGUGCUUAUGCGAAGCCCUGGUACCCUAGAACAUCAUCAUCGUCACCACGCCAUCGUGCUGACGAAACUCUUCCUCAACACUCGGCUAGAUCGGAGUUCGAGGGACGUCAUUGGGUUGAACGUGUGCUAAACUCGGAGCUGCCGUGCGUUCGGUACUUGAUCGGUCGGAUCGUGAAGACAUACGACUACAUCAACCGCGUUGUGCUAACGCUUCCGCUUUCGGUCUACGAGGGUACGUGGACACACUCUCCCCUCUCGUUGCUAUGCAUCACCAUGAUCUUGCGUGUGCGUAGGAAUUUUUUUGAAAUUACUACGUUCCCCAGCAGGUAUAAAUUUAGCAACAAUGUAAUUAGCAUAAUCAGCAUACCAUGGAGCAGUGCGAGAAGCAUUAAUGACAUUUAAUUGUUCAUCAGGAAAGCUAUCAUCAAUAGGUAGUGGGUCAUCAAGAACAUUCUCUAACCUAGACAAGUUGUCUGCAACGGGGUUCUCAGCUCCCUUUCUAUCAAUAAUAUGCAAAUCAAAUUCUUGUAGUAGGAGAACCCAUCUAAUUAUUCUAGGUUUAGCAUCUUUCUUUUCCAUAAGAUAUUUAAUAGCAGCAUGAUCAGUGUGAAUAGUUACUUUAGAAUCAACAAUAUAAGGUCUGAACUUAUCACAAGCAAAUACAACUGCUAAAAAUUCUUUUUCGGUAGUAGCAUAAUUUCUCUGGGCACUAUCUAGAGUUUUACUAGCAUAUUGGAUAGCAUUUAGCUUCUUAUCAACUCUUUGUCCUAGAACAGCACCUACAGCAUAAUCGCUAGCAUCACACAUAAUUUCGAAGGGUAAAUUCCAAUCAGGUGGCUGAACGAUAGGUGCAGAAAUCAAAGCUUUCUUAAGUAUUUCAAAUGCUUCUACACAAUCAUCAUCAAAGACAAAAGGUAUAUCUUUUUGUAAUAGAUUAGUCAGAGGCCGAGAAAUUUUUGAGAAGUCUUUAAUGAACCUCCUAUAAAAACCAGCAUGACCAAGAAAACUUCUUAUACCUUUGAUGUCCUUAGGACACGACAUCUUUUCAAUAGCAUCAACUUUAGCUUUAUCAACUUCAAGACCUCUUUUAGAAAUUUUAUGCCCCAAGACAAUUCCUUCAUUAACCAUAAAGUGGCAUUUCUCCCAAUUCAAGACAAGAUUAGUUUCUUCACAUCUCUGCAAAACUCAAUCAAGGUUGCUCAAGCAAUCAUCAAAAGAGCAUCCAUAAAAGGAGAAAUCAUCCACGAAAACCUCACAAAUCUUUUCACAAAAGUCAAAGAAUAUAGCCAUCAUGCAUAUUUAAAAGGUAGUAGGUGCAUUACAUAAACCAAAAGGCAUACGUCUAUAAGCAAAAGUACCGAAAGUGCAAGUAAAAGUGGUCUUUUCUUGAUCCUUUGCUGACACAGGUAUUUGAGAGAAACCAGAGUAACCAUCUAGAAAGCAAAAAUGUGUAUGUUUGGAUAAUCUUUCUAGCAUUUGAUCAAUAAAAGGCAAAGGGUAAUGAUCUUUUUAGUAGCUUUAUUUAAUUUGCGGAAAUCAAUUACCAUCCUAUAACCUGUAAUAGUUCUUUGUGGGAUCAAUUCAUCUUUAUCAUUAGGAAUGACAGUAAUACCUCCCUUCUUAGGGACACAAUGGACAGGACUUACCCACUGACUAUCAGCAACGGGAUAAAUUAUACCUGCCUCAAGGAGCUUUAAUAUUUCCUUUCUUACCACUUCUUUCAUCUUAGGAUUUAGCCGUCGUUGGUGAUCAAUAACUGGUUUGGCGUCUUUCUCCAAAUUUAUUUUGUGUUGACAUAGAGUGGGACUAAUGCCCUUAAGAUCAUCAAGAGUAUAUCCAAUAGCAGCACGGUGCUUCUUCAGAAUUUUCAAUAAUUUCUUUUCUUCAUGCUCUGAAAAGGUUAGCACUAAUAAUAACAGGAUAUAUCUUCUUUUCAUCAAGAUAAGCACAUUUAAGAGUAUCAGGUAAUGGUUUAAGCUCAAACACGGGAUCACCCUUGGGUGGAGGAGGAUCCCCUAGGAUUUCAACAUGCAGGUUGUGUUUCAAAAUAGGUCCCUAUUUAAAGAAUACUUCAUCUAUUUCCCUUCUUUCAUUCAUAAACAUAUCGUUUUCAUGGUCUAGCAAAUAUUGUUCUAAAGGAUCACUGGGAGGCACGGCAAUAGAAGCAAGACCAAUAAUUUCAUCUUUACUAGGCAAUUCCUCAUCACGGGGUUGUCUACGAAAUUUAGCAAAAUUAAACUCAUGAGACAUAUCACCCAGACCAAUAGUAACAACAUCCUUUUCGCAGUCUAUCCUAGCAUUAACAGUAUUCAAGAAGGGUCUACCAAAUAUGAUGGGACAAAAGCUAUCUUGUGGGGAACCAAGAACAAGGAAAUCAGCAGGAUAUUUAACUUUCCCACACAAGACUUCAACAUCUCUAACAAUCCCAACUGGUGAAAUAGUAUCUCUAUUAGCAAGCUUAAUUGUAACAUCAAUUUCUUCUAUUUCAGCAGGUGCAAUAUCAUGCAUAAUUUCUUCGUAUAAAGAAUGAGGUAUUGCACUUGCACUAGCACCCAUAUCACAUAAUCCAUGAUAACACUGGUCUCCUAUUUUAACAGAAAUAACAGGCAUGCCGACAACAGGUCUAUGUUUAUAUUUAGUAUCAGGUCUAGCAAUUCUAGCAGCUUCUCCACAGAAGUAAAUGGCAUGCCCAUCAAUAUUAUCAGCCAAGAGAUCUUUAACCAUAGCAAUAUUAGGUUCAACUUUAAUUUGUUCAGGGGGUUUGGGUGUCCUAAUAUUACUUUUGUUGACUACAGUUGAAGCUUUAGCAUGAUCCUUUAUUCUAACAGGGAAAGGUGGUUUCUCAACAUAAGCAUUAGGAACAAUAGGAUCAUUAUAAGUGAUAGUCUUUUCUUCAACUUUAAUAGGUGCAACUACUUUUACUUCAAUGGGAGGAUUAUAUUUAAACCACUUCUCCUUAGGGAGAUCAACAUGAGUAGCAAAUGAUUCACAGAAAGAAGCUACUAUCUCAGAGUCAAGUCCAUAUUUAGUGCUAAAUUCACGGAAAACAUCGGUAUCCAUAACAGAUUUAACACAAUCAAACUUAGGUGUUAUACCUGACUCCUUACCUUCGUCGAGAUCCCAAUCUUCAGAGUUGCGUUUAAUUCUUUCCAAUAAAUCCCAUUUGAAUUCAAUAGUCUUCAUCAUAAAAGAGCCAGUACAAGAAGUAUCGAGCAUGGAGCGAUUAUUGAGAGAAAGCCGAGCAUAAAAAUUUUGAAUAAUCAUUUAUCUUGAGAGCUCAUGAUUGGGGCAUGAAUAUAACAUUGACUUAAGCCUCCCCAAGCUUGAGCGAUGCUUUCUCCUUCGCGAGGCCAAAAAUUACAUAUAUAAUUACGAUCACGAUGAACAAGAUGCAUAGGAUAAAACUUCUGAUGAAAUUCCAAUUUCAAUCGCUUGUAGUUCCAUGAUCCCAUAUCAUCACAUAGCCUAAACCAUGUCAAUGCCUCUCCCUUCAAAGAUAAAGGGAAGACCUUCUUCUUGAUAACAUCCUCGGGCAUACCUGCAAGCUUAAAUAAUCCACAAACUUCAUCCACAUAGAUUAAGUGUAUGUAAAUCGGGAUGCAAUGUUCCAUCUCCUGUAAAAGGAUUAGCUAGCAGUUUCUCUACCAUACCCAAAGGAAUUUCAAAGUAAACAUUUUCAGUAGGUUCAGUAGGUUGAGGAGCAACUCUUUGCUCUACUGGUCGAGGUGAAGAUACCCCGAACAAGCCCCUCAGAGGAUUACUUUCCAUAGUAACAAGUGACGGUAAAUUUCAGCACACUAUAUAAUUUUUUCCUUACCAAAUUCCACCUACCAAAGGCGCUUCACUCCCCGACAACGGCGCCAGAAAAGAGUCUUGAUGACCCACAAGUGUAGGGGAUCUAUCGUAGUCCUUUCGAUAAGUAAGAGUGUCGAACCCAACGAGGAGCAGAAGGAAAUGGUAAACGGUUUUCAGCAAGGUAUUCUCUGCAAGCACUGAAAUUAUCGGUAAUAGAUAGUUUUGUGAUAAAGUAAUUUGUAACGGGUAACAAGUAAUGAAAGUAAAUAAGGUGCAGCAAGAUGGACAAAUCCUUUUUGUAGCAAAGGACAAGCCUGGACAAACUCUUAUAUAAAGGAAAACGCUCCCGAGGACACAUGAGAAUUAUCGUCAAGCUAGUUUUCAUCACGCUCAUAUGAUUCGUGUUCGUUACUUUGACAAUUUGGUAUGUGGGUGGACCGGUGCUUGGGUGUUGUCCUUACUUGGACAAGCAUCCCACUUAUGAUUAACCCCUAUUGCAAGCAUCCGCAACUACAAAAGAAGUAUUAAGGUAAACCUAACCAUAGCAUGAAACAUAUGGAUCCAAAUCAGCCCCUUACGAAGCAACGCAUAAACUAGGGUUUAAGCUUCUAUCACUCUAGCAACCCAUCAUCUAGUUAUUACUUCCCAAUGCCUUCCUCUAGGCCCAAACAAUGGUGAAGUGUCAUGUAGUCGAUGUUCACAUAACACCACUAGAGGAAAGACAACAUACAUCUCAUCAAAAUAUCGAACGAAUACCAAAUUCACAUGACUACUUAUAGCAAGACUUCUCCCAUGUCCUGAGGAACAAACGUAACUACUCACAAAUCAUAUUCAUGUUCAUAAUCAGAGGGGUAUUAAUAUGCAUAAAGGAUCUGAACAUAUGAUCUUCCACCAAAUAAACCAACUAGCAUCAACUACAAGGAGUAAUCAACACUACUAGCAACCUACAGGUCCCAAUCUGAGGCUUUGGAACAAAGAUUGGAUACAAGAGAUGAACUAGGGUUUUAGAGGAGAUGGUGCUGGUGAAGAUGUUGAUGGAGAUUGACCCCCUCCCGUUGAGAGGAUCAUUGGUGAUGACGAUGGCGAUGAUUUCCCCCUCCCGGAGGGAAGUUUCCCUGGCAGAACAGCUCUGGCGGAGCCCUAGUUUGGUUCCGCCUCGUGGCGGCGAAGUUUCUUCCCGAAAGCUUGCUUAUGAUUUUUUUUCCAGGGUAAAAGACUUCAUAUAGCAGAAGAUGGGCACCGGAGGCCUGCCAGGGGCCCCACGAGGCAGGGGGCGCGCCCAGGGGGGUAGGGUGCGCCCCCACCCUCGUGGCCAGGGUGUGGGCCCCCUCUGGUAAUUUCUUCGCUCAGUAUUUUUUAUUAAUUCCAUAAAUGACUUCCAUGAAGUUUCAAGACUUUUGGAGCUGUGCAGAAUAGGUCUCUAAUAUUUGCUCCUUUUCCAGCCCAGAAUUCCAGCUACCGGCAUUCUUCCUCUUCAUGUAAACCUUGUAAAAUAAGAGAGAAUAGUCAUAAGUAUUGUGACAUAAUGUGUAAUAACAGCUCAUAAUGCAAUAAAUAUCGAUAUAAAAGCAUGAUGCAAAAUGGACGUAUCACGCGCGAUGUGGUGCAACCACGGGAACAACCUCAGAUCGGUGGCGGAGACCACGUGCCGCGAUGCUACAUCCCGAAGGGGCGACGCAGCGGCGGCGCAGAUCGAUGCAGCCACAAGGAGAACCACGGGGCGGCGGCGCUGCGGCCCGAUGGGGCGACGCAGCGGCAACCCAUUGCUCGAUCAGUGGAGGGGCGCGCUGAACUCGGGGACAGGGCGGUGACGGCCGGCGUAGGUCGACCAGCGGGCCGAUGCACGGACAACGGCCGGGAGGGGGCCCCUGUCGCGCGAGGCUACCUGGUCGGUGAAGAGGCCGGUAGAUGGCGCUGGUGUCGGAGUAGAGGCACGGUGGUGGACGAUGGCGGCAGGCGACGCAAACCGAUCAAGCAUAGAUCGGAAACCAAAAAGAAAAACGCCCGGCGAAAGAGCGAAGAAAAAAAACGGAGCAAGGGCUCGGGAAAAAGACUCUCUAGGGCAGCCGGUCAACACGACCGGCGGACGAACCCUAGGUACGGGUGGUGCGGCCCCCGACGGCGGUCAUGGAGGCCGCCCCGGGGGCGGCACUCGGGUGCAGAAGCGGCGGCGGCUAGGGUUUAGGAUCGAGGUAAGGCUGAUACCAUGUUAGAAGGGAGAGAGAGGAUUGGUGGAAUAGUUGUUGUAUUGCUUGAGCCUCGUGGGCAUAUAUAUAGGAGUACAUAGUCAACUUGGAGUACAAGACAAGCCGGGACAUAUCCUAGUCUAUCUCAUAUUUCCUAAAUAAACAUAAUACUCAACAGAUUCUUCUGCUCCAACAUACACAAUCAACUACCCGCAAAAAAAAACAUACACAAUCAACAGCGGCAACCAUCGGGCUAAAAGAAAGGCACAAUCGCAAUGACAUACUUGCAGUUGCAGCGGAGACAGGACUUGUAGCGAAAAUAAUGCCAUCAUACUUGCAGCGGAGGUACGACUUGUAGCGAAAAUAAUGCCAUCUUUCAGAAUGGCUCGUGUAAAAACAGAAGAUAACCUCAGCGUACUUCAUGAGAAGGCGAAGCCAGUCAGUUAUGUUAGCACACCAGCAAACCCAGAGCAGAUUGCUUUACAUACCAAAGUUUCAAGCGAGAUAGAAAGUGUGAAAUUCAGUGCUUAUCAUUUCAUAAAACAGGAAAUUUCUAUCUUUACAAAUUACAUCCCUCCGUUCCUCAUGUUAGCAUCAUGUCGGGAUUAUUAGUUUAUAAUUAUUUUGUGCAUCACAAUCUUCAAAUUCAAAAGGAGAAAUAUAGCACAUACACAUCACAACUCCUCUGUUUCUCCGCCUCAAAGCAGCAGCACAAAACAGGCUUCAUUAAUCUCAAUUUGCGAGUGAAAUUAGUUCAAGCAUAUAAACUCAACCUGAAUUAUCAAGGAUGCAAGCAAAUGGAUCAAACAACAACGAAAGGGAUAGAUCGUACCACAAAAGGGCUUGACUUCUUGCUACUGUUGGUGGUGGCCACGGCAGGAUCGGAGCGAGUGGAGUAAGACGAAAUCACUAGUUGAGGAGUACUCGUUGCAAAGAUCACCCCAACCUCUCCAGAUUGCAACAAGUGGCGCGCUGCAUGUGCAUCACUUGUCGCAACCUGGAAGUUUUCCCUUUUUUCAUAGAUCCGUUUAUUCAAAAUGUUUUAUCACUUAAACCGUGUGUCCAAAUCUCGAACCGCUUUCAUCGUUGGAUUCCUCGCGUUGAGAUCUUCAAAACUAGAUCCUAUGUUGAUAGGUUUUGACAAACUUUUUUUUUCACGAAAAACCGAACCGGGAGCACGGGUUUUUUCCCUUUCCGAAAAAGGUAUACCCGUGCCUCUCACGAAAUCACAACCGUGCCUCUCGCGGAAGCAAAACCGUGACACUCGCGGAAGGAAAAAAAAGAAAACACGUUUUUUUCGUCUCCAAGAAGGCACGGCCGUGACUCUCACGAAAGCACAACCGUCCCUCUUGCGGAAGAUAAACCGUGACUCUCUCGAAAGAAAAAAAACAGAAAACGCGUUUUUUUCGUUUCCGAGAGGCACGGCCGUGACUCGCGAAAAGCACAACCGUGUCUGUCGCGGAAGCAAAACCGUGACUCUCACGAAAAGAAAAAAAACAUAAAAUACGUUUUUUUUCAUUUCCGAGAGGCUCAACCGUGACUCUCGCGAAAAGAAAAAAAAAUAAAACGUGUUUUUUUGUGCAAAAACAAUUGAAUUUUUUUAUUGAAAAGCUAAGGAAGACCGGUGGAAAACCAAAACGUUGAAAAAAACUGAAAAAACCGUUUAAAAAGCCGAAAACGCGUGCGAAAAAAAUAAAAUUCGGAGGGAGCGCGACACGUGGCAAAUGGCUGAGAGCGCGCCAAGUGACGCUGAUCGUUGCGAGCCUCCCAAAGGAGCGCUAGUUGCUCUCGGGGGAAUAACAUGACGACGCUGGGAAGAAGUGGAUGGUUGGCUCGGCUGUAGGGCCAAGCCGUCCUCCUCCAUGGCCGCCUAGCCAGAUUCAGCUCUCGACAUCUCUCUCUCCGCACUUAGAUGGAGGCGAGGACGAAGCCCUAGCAAAAAUUAUAUCACCGAAAAGAUUCAAGUUUGACCGUAAAUUUAACCAACGAGACAGCUUGCGGCGGGAUAUCGAUCUCGUUGGUUAAAUUUACGGUCAAAUUUGAAUCUCGAAAAUACGGACGCACUAAUAGGCGGCCAUGUCAACCUAUUUGGGCCGGUCAACCCGCAACCGUAGGAUUUCGUUGAUUCUAGUUCGAUGCACUUCGUCUUUAUCAGAACACACGCGUACGGAAAUAUUCCCCUGCAUCUCAUCGCUCUCUUCCGACUGGCCGGCCGCAGUUGCUCUCUGGUCGCUGCCCUCACGGGUCCUCCUCGUUGCCAGUCGUCACCCUCGCCGGCCAUCCUCGUUGCCGAUUGAAGCAUCAAAUGGCGCGACGGCGUCGCUCACAGCCAAUAGCAGUUGUAGCAAAAAUCUUUGUCGAUUCCAGCAAAACAAAAACAUGGUGGAAGCAAAAAUAUGGGUCACCAGUUCCAGCAAAAAACACAAUACGCGGAAGCAAAAUAAAAUGAUACAUCGGUUCCAGCAAAAACACAACACGGUGGAAGCAAAAUGAGACGCCGGUUCCAGCAAAAAAAGACGGUGGUAGCAAAAGAAUUGUCUGAUUCCAGCAAAAUCUGAAGACGGUAGUAGCAAAAAUUGGGGAUGAUUGCAACAAAAAAACAAACUGGUUCCAUCUAUGUGUGUCGCAAUUGCAGCACCGCCGUCCGGACGUGGUCACCACGUCGGGUCGUGGUCACCACUGCCAUGGGAUGGCCCCAGCUGGUAGCAGCUUCGCCUUGGAUGGUUGCAACUAGUCGUACAUAGGUUGCAACCAUCCCAUGGCGCCGCCAUGGCUCGGAUGCAAAACCGAUGCAGCUCCGUGCACCACCGGGUUGCAGCCCAUCGCGCACACCGUCGUUGCCGUCGUAGCAAAAUGGUUGGCCGGCUGCAGCUUUUUGUGUUGCCGGUUGUAGCCCAUCGCGGUAGCUCUGUCGGCACCGUAGCAAAACAGUUUGCCAGUUGCAGCCUUUUAAUUUGCCGGUUCCAGCUGCUCGCGCAGCCAAUAGCAGCACCGGAGCUCGCCGGUUCCGGCAGGCGGUGGGUGGUUGCAGCAAAGAACACUGGCGAGGGGUGGACUGCAGCGUGGGCUUGCAGCAUCACUGGUGUGCCCGACCUUGCUUUACGCUCAUGGAAGAAAAGAGUGAGAGGUAGAAGAAGAAAUUGGGGACCAAGGGAUAGACAGAAAAAAGAAAGAUGUAGACGAGAGACGGAGAAAGGAUAAGAGACGUGUGGAUGUGGUCUCUUCUGGUGGAGAAAACGAGAAGCGGUGCGCUUGGGGCCCACAACUACAUGGUGCGUGGCGUGUGACUGGCUGGAGUUUCGGCCGGCGCACCGUCUCCGAACGUUUUCUUGUGAAAAGGAGUGAGUAAAAGAAAACUAGGAUGACCGAGCACACAAAUCGUGCAAAAUACAGACUUCCAAGACAAAAAGGAGAGAAAGAGAUAAUAAAGGGAGAAGAAAUAAGAGGGCAGGACCGUCUUUUCCGUCCCCCUUCUUCCUUGCGAGCACAGGGUUUUCUUCCGCCGCUCCCCCCAAUCCAUCCAUCGAUUCCCAUCCGCCGCCGCCGCCGUCUUCCAGCCCCCACCCCCACCUCCAGUCUAGACCCCGCGCGCCGCGCCGAUGGGGCGCAAGAAAAACGUCGCCAUCGACGACGACGAGUACUCCCUGCCGCAGGACGACGAGGCCGCCCCCCCGCCGCCCCCCCGCCGCCCCCCGCCGCCGCCGCGGAGAAGGAGAAGCCGCCGCCCAAGAAGGGCGGCAAGAAGGGCGGCAAGUCCGCCGCGCACGACGACGACGACGACUACGAGCCCGCCCCGCCUCCCCCGCCGGCGGGCGAGGAGGACGACGAGCCGAUCAACGUCGUCUUCACCGGCAAGAAGAAGAAGAAGAAGGGUGGCGCGGGCGGGGGCGGGAUGAGCGCCUUCGACGCCCUCGCGGCCGCCGAGGACCAGGAUGAGGACGAGGCCCCUGCCUCCACCACCGCAUCCGAGCUCGAGGCCGGUAGGUCUGAGGCCAGCGGCGAUCUCGACGACGUCGACCUCGAUUUCGACUUCAGCAAGUCCAAGAAGAAAAAGAAGAAGGGCAAGGGAGCUCGCCUGUCCGCCGAGGAGGACGAGGAGGCGGCUGCUGCUGCUGCGGCGGCGCCCCCAGCUGCUGCCGAGGAAGAGGAGGAGCAGGAGGCUGCGGCCAUGGCUGCCAAGAAGCCACAGAAGAAGAAGAAAAAGAAGGGUGGGUUUACUGUGGACGAUGAGGACAUCGACAAGCUCCUGGCCGAGAUGGAGGAUCCUCCCCAACCAGCAAAGGAGGCUGAGCCGGAGGAGGCUAAAGGUGGGGAUUCUCUGGCUGCCCCAGAUGCCGAUGAUGCCGGCGGAAAGAAAUCGAAGAAGAAGAAAAAGAAGGGAGGGUUUACUGUCGACGAUGAGGACAUUGACAAGCUCCUUGCAGAGAUUGAGGACCGGCCUGCUGCCGCUGAGGAGCCUGAGCCCAAGUCAGCCAAGGCAGAGGAUACUGUGGCUGCUGCUCCUGCUGCGACCAGUGUGGAUGAUGCUGAAGGGAAGAAAUCAAAGAAGAAAAAGAAGAAGAGCGGAAGGACAGCACAGGAAGAGGAGGAUCUGGACAAGCUUCUUGCUGAGCUCGGUGAAGGACCGGCACCGGCACCGGAGAAGGAGAAACCAUCCCAGGCAGCGCCUUCCGCUCCAGCAGUGAAGGAGGACGCUGAAACUGCGGAGGAUGGUAAUGCAGAGCAGAAGGCCGGGGAAGGAGAGGUAGAGUCCGCUGCAGCCAAGAAGAAAAAGAAGAAGAAAGAAAAAGAGAAGGAGAAGAAGGCAGCAGCAAAGGGGACAGAGGCUAAGAAGGAGGAGGAAAAGGAGCCAGAGGCGCCUAAAGGCAAGGUUGACAUGAAGAAGCUCCCAAAGCAUGUCCGGGAGAUGCAGGAGGCUCUUUUGAAGAGGCAGGAAGCCGAGGAGCGGAGGAAGAAAGAGGAGGAAGAACGUUUGAGGAAGGAGGAAGAGGAGCGUUUGAGGAAAGAGGAGGAGGAGAAGAAGGCAGAGGAAGCAAAGAGGAGGAAGAAGGAGAGGGAAAAGGAGAAGCUGCUCAAGAAGAAGCAGGAAGGUAAGCUUUUAACAGGGAAGCAGAAGGAGGAGGCCAAGCGGUUAGAAGCCAUGAGGAGACAAUUCCUUGGUGAGAGUGAAGUUCCAGUAGCUGAUGGGGCUGCCCCUGAGAUUAAGAAGAGGCCAAAGUAUGAUAGCAAGAAGAAAAAAGUUCAAACAAAGGCUUCAGAGGCCCAGAAGGUAGCUGAAGAACAACAGCAAGAGGUAAAUGAAGCCAACAUUGACGAGGAAGAGUAUGUCAUAGUGGACCAGGAAUCUCAGUCUCAGGUGGCAGAAUCUGAGACAAAAACAGAACCCGACCAAGAGGUGGAAGAGGCAAAACAAGAAGAGGAGGAAGAUGAAGAUUACUGGGAUGCAAAGAGCUGGGAUGAUAUCGAUGUGGGUUUGUCGAAGACAAGUGCUUUCGAGGAGGAAGAGGAGAAGGAGGACAAGCCUGUUGCCACGAAGCAGGAAAUUUCUAAACCGCAACCUGUAGUGCCUGCUGUAAAAAAUGUUGCUCCGCCUGUUGACAACUCUAAAAAGAGUGAAACUGAAAAUGUGCGUGCCAACAAUGGAGUUGCUAAAAAGAAAGGGAAGAAAGGAUCUUCUAAAGAUGAUGAUGCUGACAAUGCUAGCGACCUCCGUUCACCAAUCUGUUGCAUCCUUGGUCAUGUUGAUACUGGAAAGACAAAGCUGCUGGACUGUAUUAGACGAACUAAUGUACAAGAAGGAGAAGCUGGCGGUAUUACUCAACAGAUUGGAGCUACAUACUUCCCAACUGAGAAUAUUAGAGAGAGAACAAGGGAAUUGAAGGCUGAUGCUACUCUCAAGGUUCCAGGCCUGCUUGUUAUUGAUACUCCUGGCCAUGAGUCCUUCAGUAAUCUGCGUUCUAGAGGUUCAAGUUUGUGCGACAUUGCUAUUUUGGUUGUCGACAUUAUGCAUGGGCUUGAACCCCAGACAAUCGAAUCCCUGAAUCUCUUGAAAAGUCGAGAUGCAGUAUUUAUCGUUGCUUUGAACAAGGUACUAUUCUUGGAUUUUUGUCCCUUUGACUUUCGGCUUCCUUACUGUUCUGCUAUUUACUUGUUUGUUUCUUAUCACUGUAUGAAGGUUGAUCGUCUUUAUGGUUGGAAGACCUGCCCCAAUGCUCCUAUCGGGAAAGCCUUGAGACAACAAAAUGAUGAUGUCAAGUUGGAGUUCAAUACGAGGCUUACUGAUGUAUGUGGACAUUAUUGUUUCCUCCUUGUUUUAUAGUAUUAUGGAAAGAACUACUAGUUGGUGUUGUUCUAAUCACAUGUAUGUGCUUUGUCCAACAGAUUGUGACACAAUUCAAGAUGCAAGGUGUGAAUACUGCUUUGUACUACAAGAACAAAGAGAUGGAAGAUACAUUUAACAUUGUGCCUACCAGUGCAGUAAGGCAUGGUCAACAAUUAAUCUUAUUGGUUCAUUCAUUCAGAUAUCUGGCAGCAAGUACGAUAUUACUAGCAUCUUUUCCUUAACACAUAAUGCACUUCUCCCUGCAGUGGUGAAGGCAUUCCUGAUCUGCUUCUACUAUUGGUGCAAUGGGCACAAAAGACGAUGGAAGAAAAGCUUACUUUUGUUGAUGAAGUCCAGGUACCGUGCAUAUAUGAGUUACUACUCAUCACUGUAGAAGAAUGCACUUGUAUGAUCUUAUCUUAUUCUGUUUCAGUGUACCGUGCAUAAAUAUACUUGUCAUUGUAGAAGAAUGCAGUCUUAUGAUCUUAUCUUAUUGUGUGUCAGUGUACUGUCCUGGAAGUCAAGGUCAUCGAAGGUCAUGGCACUACAGUUGAUGUUGUGCUGGUCAAUGGUAUGCUCCAUGAAGGAGAUCAAAUAGUCGUGUGUGGCAUGCAGGUAAGAAUCAUGUUGUAUAAUUGCAAUUGCUGCAGCAAAUACAUCACCAGCACAUGUAAGACUCAUUAUGUUCUUGUUAUAUAUCUAUUUAGGGACCCAUUGUGACAACCAUCAGAGCUUUGUUAACACCACACCCGAUGAAGGAGCUUCGAGUUAAGGUGUGUGGCUCAUUAUACUACACCUUAGUUUAAUUUCUUAUUUUAGAUCCAAUAUAUUGCUGUUCAACUAGGCUGUCACCUUUAAGAUUCAUUCUCUUUCGGUGCUUUGAUGACUGGGGACCUAUUGAUAGCUUUGAUCAAAACAUUUACAUACUGGGAGGUUUAUAUUAUGCACAUUUUUUAUGACUGGGAACCUAUUGAUAGCUUUGAUCAUAAGAUUUAUGUCAUCAUGUCAUUUUUGUGCCUACCUGGAAAUAGUAAAUUAAUGUCAUGCUAACUCUACCAAGAAAGCUCAAUGGCAUGUUUGAUUUGCAGCCAUACUUUGCCAAAUGUUAGGUAGACACGUGUACCGAGUGUUUGGAUACAUUCACAGGUGGCAUGCCACACUUUCUUUGUCAGUCACCCCACUUGUCAUGGACUCAGUUGCCAGCCAACUUUUGCCACAAGUGUGUUGACCAAUUUGUUCAUCUUAGACACCACCAUGCUUACGCCUUGCCAAGACACUUAAAAUGCUUGCAUAUUAUGAUUCAUUGCUUUCUUUUGCACUAAGAUGAUUUGAGCCUUUGGUUCACCUUUUAAGUUUGAGUUGACUAAUUCAUCGAAACACAAAAUCUCAGGGCACCUACCUUCACCAUAAGAAGAUCAGAGCUGCACAAGGAAUUAAAAUAUCAGCUCAGGUGGGUUCAUUAAUUUUUUGGCACUUCAGAGUGUAAAUAUCAGCACACUUCUGAAAAAUAACAAGUGUUCUCUGUCAGGGUCUCGAACAUGCAAUUGCUGGGACUGCUCUAUAUGCUGUACGACCUGAUGCAGAUAUAGAGGACCUGAAGGAUGCUGUAAUGGAAGAGAUGUCAAGGGUUAGGAACCGGAUUGAUAAGAGUGGCGAGGGUGUCUAUGUGCAAGCAUCUACGCUUGGGUCAUUGGAAGCUCUGACUGAGUUCUUGAAGAGCCCUGCUGUGAAUAUCCCCUUCUGUGAUUUCAGCAUAGGCCCAGUGCACAAGAAAGAUGUUAUGAAGGCCAGCGUUAUGCUUGAGAGGAAGAAGGAAUAUGCAACUAUCUUGGCGUUUGAUGUCAAAGUGAUGCCUGAUGCCCGUGAUCUUGCAGAAGAGUCUGGUGUGAAGAUCUUCGUGGCAGAUAUAAUAUACCACCUUUUUGACCAAUUUACAGCGUACAUUAAGAACAUAAGGGAAGAGAAGAAGAAGGACAGCGCCGAAGAAGCUGUUUUCCCCUGUGUUCUUAAGAUCAUGCCGAACUGUGUCUUCAACAAGAAGGAUCCAAUCGUUUUGGGUGUCGAUAUCCUCGAAGGAAUAGCAAAGGUAUUUUGUCUGAUCAGUGAAAUUUUAUAUUUUCUCAACCCUUAUUUUACUGGAUUUUUUAGCUGAGCAGUUAUCUUUCUAGAAUACCCAGUAGUUUGUAACUGGCCUAGAUUAACAAAUGCCAGUAGGCUCAUCAUCUAGAAACUGGAAACUGUCAUAUGUGUCCAUAGAUAUGAAUGUUAUGUUAUGUUUCUCAUACAUCAUGGAGUGGUUGGUCUUUCACGUCUUUCUCAAGCUAUUUUUCUAGAACAUUCAGUAGUGAAGAACCAACUGCCCAAUUAAACAAAUCCUCAUAGUCUAGAAAGUGGGACCUGUCAUAUGUAGAAUUUGAUGUCCGAAACACUUGAAUAUUAUCAUGGAGUGGUCUUUCUCAAGAUAUGUAUUCGAUUCCUUGUUUUCCCUUGUCAUGUAGGUGGGAACGCCUCUGUGCAUACCCUCGAAAGAAUUUAUUGAUAUUGGGAAGAUUGCCUCCAUUGAAAUUAAUCACAAGCAAGUUGAUACAGCCACAAAAGGGCAAAAGGUGGCUAUAAAGGUUUGUGUUAUCCUGUGUUACUCUGUUUCUUUUUCUUCUUGUUAGAUUUAUCAGGUUCUGUCUGACAUAUGUUGUUGUUUCCUGGGUGGUGAGCAGAUCAUUGGGAGCAACUCUGAUGAGCAGCAGAAGAGCUUUGGCAGGCACUUUGAGAUGGAAGACGAGCUCGUCAGCCACAUCACAAGGCGGUCCAUCGACCUUCUCAAAGAAAACUACAGGGCAAGUCUUUCUUGUUUGUUUCCAUGUGCAUUGAUUGGUUCACCCCGUUGUCUGCCCAUAUACUCUGGUGGUUCUUCCAGGCCACCACCACCACCAGUUAGUGAUUUUUUGUUGACUGUUGUUGACUGCAGGAUGACUUGACGAUGGACGACUGGAAACUUGUGAUGAAGCUGAAGAAGAUACUGAGUAUCCCAUGAGUUUGUUGACAAAAAAAGCCGGCGCGACCCUCUGGUUGCUUGCCCAUAGAGGAGGGUGUUUCAAUUUUGAUGAUGAUGAUACGGUUGUAAUUUGGUGGGAGUGCGCUCUCGGUUGCUUUUCUUUCUUUUCAUGCAAUCGUUUUGUUCCUGUUUUUGUUGCACUGUUUAACCUGAAGCUUGUUAACGAUUGGCUUUGGAGCAAAAGUAACAGGUGUGCUGAGCUUGGGCAGUAGACUAGGCUUUAUUUUUUUGGGGGCGGAUAGUUGUCGGUUUCAUGUCCUCUUUGCCUAGUUAUUGCAUUUUCCUAAGAAAAAGCCAGUUAUUACUAUUUUUGUUGUUGGUGAAUUUCACCUGAUACAGUUAUACUCUAAUUGAAUCCAGCUAUUUGGAAUAAAGUAAGAAGGUAAACUGGCGCAAAAGGAGAAAUCUGUCAAACUGAAGAAAAGAAACAAUAAACUGCUUUGAUUGCUGGCAGCCCAUUUGCUUGAUUUAGCAGCGAGGACCUAGGAAUGGUGAGAAACGAUUGACUUGAAGGAAGGGAGAUAUUUCCUCUCUCUGGAAUUACUUGACGAACGUAAGUAAUUCCAGAUGGAGAAAGUAUAUUUCAUUUCAAAAAAAGAGUCCUCACUUUAUAUAGAGAUCACCCUGCACCAAAAAUGCCAUAUCCACUCCAGUGUUGUUAAACAUGAUAGCCUAAGGUGCUACUCCGUGAACAUUUAUACUUUCUUUGAUUUAUAUUACUUGUCUUGAAUAUAGGUGUGUCUACAUAUAUUUGUAUCUAACAAAUCUAAAAAGUAAUAUGAGGGAGUACAACUUAUUCCUACUCUGACAAUUGAUUUUUAUCCCAACCGCUCCAUACUACCAUAGGGGUUGUUUUGGUUAUUCUUAUUUGAGAAAAGUUCACUCACGGUCCUUGAACUUGAGCCGGUGCUCACCUUGGUACCCUAUCAAUUUAAUAUACCCGAAAUAUGGUCCCUUAAUUUGUCAUGGGGUUCACAUGCAAUCCAAAAUACAAUUUUCUGGCACUGGUCAACUGAAUCUGGACACAUUGUAAAAAAAACUAUAGUACACAUGCAGUCGUUCCUAUCCGGUUUCUUCGGCCAUAAGAGCAUCUCCAACGGAUGUGCUAGAUAAGCCGCGCGCGGGAAAAAACGGCUAUAUAGUGCGCGCGUGAUCGAAAGUAGCGCUCCAAUAGCCGCACUAUAAUCCGGCGCGCGGUAAACAAGGUUCAGCGCGCUGAGUAUUUGAUGGGCCCGCUCGCGCGCGCUGGACAAGAUAAUCAUGCGCGCGAAUCUCACCAACCACCAGAUCUGAAACCUCUAGGAGCUAGCGCCUCCGCCCGUGCUUUUCCCCAUUCGCUCUGGCAGCGCUUCCCCCGCCUAUCCUCAGCACGCGAUGUUGUAUGUUUGUUGUAUUGUUUACUAUUUAUUGUAUUGUUCAUUGACUAUUUAUUGUAUUGAAGAUAAACUAUUUGUUUGAGUUGUAAUAAUAAUCAAACUAUUUAUUGUUGAUUUUUUUGUGUGUUUAGUCUUCUUGGUUCUACAUUGAGUGGGAAAUAUUGUUUGUGUUGGGCGCAUGUUGUAGCACCUGUGCUGGAGCACUACUUGCGGCGUGCAAUAUAUAACGUUUCUGAUAAAGCAAAACAUCAGUGCAGCACACUAAAACGCUAUUUCGACACAAAAAAAAUUUAGCACCCCGCGCUACUGCGGUCUGUUGGAGAUGCUGUAAGAGCAUCUCCAACAGCGGUGGUAAAAAACGCGCGCGCGGGGAAACAUGGGUCUUAGCAUGCGCAGAGCGGUUUCGCGCGCUCCAGCGGGCGCGGGAGAUUCUGGCGCGCGCGAAAAAGCGACCCGGCGCGCGGCCUCCUGCGCGCUUUAUAAAUCCAGCGCCCCUCCACGCGCCCUCUCAUCGCUCUGUGUGGGGCCUUAAAAAGGAUAUUCGCGGAACAUGCUCUUUUACGGCUCGUCUUUGCGGGGUCUGCUCGAGCGCUGCCCCCGCCGGCCCGCAAACCCGAAAUUUGCAUUUCAGUUUCACACAUGAAAAUACAUUUAUUUACUUUUUUAAUUUUUUUCAACGGCAUUGGAUACAUAGUAAUUCAUCGAAUCUUUACUAGAAUAGUAAGACUAAAGAAAACAAGAACCACAAUUAUGCAUUUUAGAAGAUAUCCAACUUUCAUAAUUGCUCCCACUAGUUGGAGCAAUAUCUUCUUCAUGCAUUCGUUGUUGAUCUGCGGAUUCUUGAUCUUGCAUUCUUCAUUCUUCUUCUUUGAUUCUAAAGAAGUAGACGUUGCUUCUCCUCUACUUUCUUCUCUAAUUGCACAUGCAGCCGCAUCAUUAGCCUCAAUUCUACUAAGGAGUGCACAAACAUCUAUCAAGUUUUUUAUCAAUAAAUUAAUGUAUUCUUCUUCCCAAAACCAAAAUGAGUAUCCAUCUUCCUACACACAUGACGAUGUUUAAAAUGAGCUGUUGCAAUUGAACCGAAGAAUACAAUGACAAAGCCGAAUGGAAACAACACAUACCCUGUCGUUUUCGAAUUUCAAGAACACCCAUCCGGGGUGCUUCGGCGUGCCAGAAGUUAGUCGCACCACUGUCCGCGUGCAAUCGUCGCAUUGUAUUAGCAGCAUCGGCGAGCCGCUGCGCGAGCACCGAGCCCAGUGGACGGCCGGCCGAAUCCUUGCCGGCAAACCGAUGGCGGCGAUGGCUAUAGGACGAACCCGUAUAUACCUGCAUGCGGCGUUGGGGCUUUCCGGGGUUGUGCGGGCUGCUCCCCGACCAAUCCAUGGCUUGGCGCAGCCACCGAUGACCGGAAACGCCAAAUCCUGCUGCCGCGUCGAAUGGCCGCCGAUGUGCAACUUUUUGGCCCGCCAACGUAGGAGGAAGUGGCGGAGGGCAAGCUCGGGCGUGUUGCGGCCCUCCGUCGUGAUCCCGCCGGCUAGUUUGGCCGGAAUUGUAGGCGGCCCGGCAGUGAGGGGUGGGGAAAAGCGCGGGGCGAGAUGAGGAGGGGCGGCGAUGGGUGGGGAAAAGCGCGGGCUGAAAUGUCCCCCUCCCCCCCCCUCCUAACCACUCCCGCUAUAUACAGGGCGCCGACGGGCCGUGGGGGGAGCCCACAUUUUCGCGGGUUGGACGGGAAUUACGCCGCACCCGGCAAAAACUUUUACGGGCCGGACGCGUUUGCAGGGUCUGGUCUGGCAGGAUUUUUCGCGCCGACCCGUAUUUUGUCGGUUAUUUUGCGGGUCGCGAUGUUAUACGGGGUUUGGUAGAGAUUCUCUUAUACAUGCAACUAAUUAGCGUAGGGGCUUGGCCGUCAACUCUGUGCUGCAAUGGAGUUUGAGUAGGUGGUAAGCUGAGCGCAUUAAUUAAUAUAGGUUAUGAAACACCAUCUCAGCCAGUCGGGCGAGUGUUCUGGAGGCGCGGGAGUAGGAGAGGCCACCGAGUUUAACGCAUGUUGCCGGCGGGCCGUGGUGCACGCACGCCGAUUGUCCAGUCGCACCGGCCGGCCGGCCUGGUCAUGGAUGAAGGAAGAUGUUCCUUUUUUCGUAAUUGGUUGAUUGAUUGGUUUGGCCACGAUGGAGUUGCGCAGCAGGUAGCGCCUAUAACGAGGAGACGUGGUCCGCCUGUAUUCCACAUUCCACAGCACUCCUUCCGUAAAUUAAUAUAAGACUGUCUUAUAACCGAGGGAGGGAGUAGUAUUUAGCUGUCGUUAGAAUUGGAUGAAGAAAAAAAGAUUGGUUCUUUUCGAGCGAAGUCUAAAAUAAAUCCUAAGAUUGUAGAAUUCGAUGAAAACGAACCCUGACGUUUAAAUCUCUGAAACAUGUAUGUACCCUGACUUCGUUGAUCCCGGUCGUUUUGAACCUUGAGAUGGGAUUCCUAUAUACCACCCGGAAAGGCCGGGAUCAAUUAGUCAGCCAGCACCUGCAGAUGGGUCCCAUGGAAUCAAACCCCUUCAGUCUUAGAAAUGUGGGUGAGGUGCCGGUGCAGUUCACGGACAGUAUCGGCGGCUCCCCGAUGCAGAUGCAGCUUCCAGUACGAGACAAGUCCUUCAUCAAUGGAAUGGAAUGGAAUGGCCCGUUGAUUGUGAAGCAACGUCGGCCGUGGUGCCCAUGCAUGCAACAGCAGAGGAUGAGCUCUCAAUUUUCAGUAGAGUAUUUGGACAUUUCCUCUGCUCUGCUGUGCUUAUUGCUCUGCUAAUUUUCAGUAGAGUAUUUUCAAAUGAGCCACGAUGCAAUGCAACCACCCAAAACACACAUAUUGCAUUCGAAGAAUGUUGGUGCUGCCAAGGGAAGAAAUGACAUUGCCCAUUGUUUUUUUUUAGAUACCUUAAUUUUUUCUUGGUGGUGGAGUGAUCGCGGGUCUGCUUUCGGAUCUGGAUGCAGUUGGGUUAGCGACCUCAGGGCGCAGGUCAACACGAUGGUGCUGAGCACGGGUGGGAAUGGCGAGAUGCGCUGCGGCCUGCGGCCCGGCAAUGAGCAGUCUGCUCUCUCUCUCUCUCUCUCUCUCUCUCUCUCUCUCUCUCGGAUCGGAUGCAGCAGCAACAUUUGGCCGACCACCUCGUCUGCGUUCGGCCUCAACGGCGAGCUCAAGGCUGGCCACCUUGCGAUGUCGGCAGAACACGCGCCAUCGACGAGCAGAAGCUGGGCGUCCAUGAGCGACCGACCCACAGGCGGUUGUGGAAAAGCGCAGACAGCACAUGCACAUGCGACGCGAGGUGGUCGUGGGUCCGGCUCCAGAUCGAGGCGUCCGCCCCUCCCGCCUCCGACGAGGCGACGACGAACCGGGAGCAGCUCUUCGCCACCGCCUAGGCCUCGCACGCAACUCCAGCCUGCGCGUGGGAGCUUCAGGAACUCGGGUUAUGUGUGUCGUCGGCGCGAGCCCGGAUGCCAUGGGCGGAGGCCCCCAGCAGCAAGUCCCCGUCUACAUCCACCCUGCCCUGCCGUCUUCAUUGACCGCACCACGGCGUCUCGCGAGUCAGACACUAAGCCAGUGGUGGCGCGGACAUGGCGUUGGCAACCUCCAACAACAGGAUGCCCGGCUGCCCGCCCUUCGCGCCCGAGUGCAGAGUCGCCAUGGAGAGGACCUUGUGCAGCAGCGGUUCGAGCUCGGCGCGGCAACGAUGGUCAUGGCUCUGCUGCGGCGGCGGCGGCGGCGGCGCGCUCUUGGCCACCAACGAGGGGUGGCCACCCUUGACCUCGUUGCGUCGCCGUCGACGGAGGUCGAGCGCACGUGAGGUGCUCGACGAAAUGUGACAUGUCAAGCUUUUUUAAAACAUAUUUUUCUUAUUUUUUUUCUUUUUGCGGGAAUAUUUUUCUUAUUUCAAAAAGCAUGUCAACUUGGAAUAAGUACACGGAUCUGGAGAAGCCUAUCUAGUUUCAAGCAAGUACUCGUCUUUUUUAGUUCGCAUAUAAGAUUUGACUAAAGUCAAUCCUCGUAAAUUUUGACCAAGUUUAUAGAAGAAGAAGAAGAAAAAAAACAUUCGGAAUGUCAACUCAACAACAAUGCAAGAGUCAUGAUUUUAGUUUUCACAUUUAGCAUUGUACAUGUUAACAUUUUUUUCACAUAAAUAUGGUCAAAUUUUACAAAGUUUGACUACAGAUCAUUCUUAUAUGCUGAGUAAAAAUAGACCGAAGGGAGUAUGCGGGUUUGAAAAAGAAUCACAAACUUCAAAGGAAAAGUAAACAAAUUUGAAAAAAAAAGUAUCAACUUAAGAAAAGCACGUGAAUCUCAAAGAAGUUCAUCUAUUUAGAAAGUAAGCGGAUUUGUAAAAAGUUACAUGAACUUGAGAGAAGUAGACGAAUUUUAUAAAAUUACACAAACUUCAAAAAGAGUUUGGAAUUGAAGAAGUAACUGAAUUUUAAAAGGACCCUGAUACUUUUUGAUGGCAAAUUUAGUUAUUCGGCAAUGACAACUUUAGUCGUGGAGGAACAACUUCCUCUUUGGAUGUCGAGUUUCGGUUUUCCGAGGUUUUUUCAUAUGACAAUUCUAAUUGUAAAAAAUGUCAAAUUUUGUGCCACACCUGUGGCAUUUAUCAUUAGGGAAAAAAGUGACGGACUUGACAAAUGCGUCAACUUGAAGAAAGCAGAACCUGCGGAAAACAAGGUGAGCACCAAAACCAAGACAAGGACGAACCUUGUGCAGUUUAUCGUGAAACGGGGUACAAAACGAAGGGCGAAUAUUAUACUACCAUUCAUUAUUCUUACCAAAAUACCCACUUGGUCAGUACGGCCUGAUUCAAAAAAAGAUUAUCACGAACACAGACGGUAGAUAGGAGAAGGAAACGAUAAAGCAGAACUAUCAUUAUACGCCAAAAAAAAUACAACUCGCGGGGCAAUAAAUCUAAAAUCUUCCUUUCUCUUCUCAUAUUCUUGUUUUCUCAGUCUGUUUUUUCAGAAGUUCACGGAACCUACCCAUAAAGAUCCUGAACAGAAUUUACGGGCACCAGCAGUGACGUCCAAACAAACUUAAGAGGAAAACACAGCUAAAUGUCUAACACUGUUCCAUAGACAAAAAAUACCAAAAGUUUCACUCUGCUCAUAAUCCGAUAUAACUCAGUAGAUGCUACACAUGGAAUAAAGGAGAAAUGUGCUGUAGCGAAGAUAGCAAAUGACAUAGCCAAUCAAGCUUACAAAACACGACACACAGUAACAGUGGGCAAGAGUUGGAGCAUCUCAAUUGAACUACACCAAGAACCAGAGGAAGAAGAGCCUCAAAUCUUCUUGCCAGCAUCACCAGCAUCCACCUUUUUGCCACCAUUCUUGAAGUAAUUGUAUGACUCCAGGAAUUUUCCCCUCAUUUCAUCGCUAGCCAUCCACUGGGCUCCAACCACAAUCAAGGCAUAGUCGACCGGACGAAGAGGCACAUCGCACAUCAGCAGACUAUAGGCGGACAGACAAUAAAAGUAGUACCUGCUGGCAUACGGCACCAGUGUCAGUAGGCUCCUCUUUGCCCAGAUAACUUUCUUGUGGAACAUCCUUCUCCCAGCCUCGCUCAAGGCGGCUUCGACAAAAUUCACUUGUUUACUGGCCUUGUGGAGAUCCUCCAGGAGCAGACUCUGGGAAAUAGCCCUCGCAUCCAGUUUCUCAAAGCAUAUCUGUUGGUUCCACUUUACCCCUUGCAAAGCAGAGUCCAAAUUCCUGCCCAUCUGCUCGAUUGCCGCGACACAUGGAUCCUUGCCGUCCCUCACCACAGUCCUCAUUUUAUUGUCAAACAGCAUCUCAAUCUCCUGAAGAUCAGGUUGCAAUCAUCAGCAAAGAACACAUUCAAUCAUCCAAAUAAGGAUAUAAUCUACAGACUGGGUUUGCCAUCGUACAAGCAAUCAUCCCAAUAAGGAUAUAAUCUAAUAUUUAUCUAAUUCUCUACAGACAGCAUCAAUAGCACAAUAAGCAAACAAGUCAUAUAUCAUGGCAACAGAACACUUGAAAUGGCAACAGAAAAUAGACAGUAGAUGAAAUUUCCAAACAGAAUUAACAAAAUAUGAGCCAGCAUACAAGCUAUCAAACAAAAUUUAAUGAUUACACAAGGAAUGAAGUCACGGGAAAUAUUAUGUUAUACAAAUAAUUAAUAUGUUCCACUCAAAUUAGCACAAAAAACAGGUGAGUGGCAUAUUACAUGAGCAAAGAACAGGUGAUUAGCAAAUUACAUGAGCAAAGAACAGGUGAUUAGCAAAUUACAGACACAGCAAAAGACACAUCAGAACAGCUAAGGUGAUCAACAAACUAUAUAAUGAAAAUCACUAUGCAAAUCAGGUCAACUUACAGCUUCAGUAAGUCCAGAAAGCCCAUCCACGACAAAGGAAACAACGUGUGGGUCCCCGGGGCACUCUUUCGGCAAGUCAAGCUGUGAGGGGGAAAAUUGAAUCAGCAUUGAGCAAAAACAAUUAACAGUUGACCUACUGAAUCAAUAUCCAACAAUUUCAACAAGAAAACCGAUCCCAAACCACAUUAGCUUAUAAUCCAAACAAUAUGACUACAAACUGUCGGAAUACAACUUGAUGAGCAUCAUGAACAAUUCAUUGGAAGCUGUCAACAUCCAACAUUUUAGACUGACUGGAAGAUAUCUCAAGAUCAAAUGAUUAACAAAAUGAUGAGCAGAGUAACUUGAGAUAAUAUUCUGAAAGAGAAAUGAAAUGAAUCAAUUAAUAGGCUUGCUACAAUGUCAUGUUACAAGCAAACAUCUGACAGAUUUACACCACAGAACGAGCCCAAGUUGAACGGGAAGAUCUCACCUUAGAGUCAGCAUCAGGAUUGACAUCGGUGGACUCAGGGUUAACUUCGGAUGCAGGUGGGGCAAGGUGCACCUUGUGCAGGACAAGGAUUUGGUCCCUGGCAGCCUUAGACAGGCUGCAGAACAGAUACAUGAUUUUCUACGGGAUCCAUCAGAGCACAAAGGAAUGAAACGAAAGAGGGUGGUUACCUCUCCGCAUAGACACGCGCGAGAUCUGGGUCUUCAUGCACCACCACCAUGACCAGUGUGGGUGCCGGCUUGGUGUGGGAGAACCUUUCCUGAGAGUAGUGGCCGACGCCCUUGGGACGCAGGAGACCAGAGGUGUUGGGCAGGUGAGCGCGGAGGCCGGCGAUGGGGAUGUCAGCGCCGCCCUUGGCAGCAUGGGAGCCGGUGAGAAGACUCCUCGCCGCGACUCCAGCGAGCCGAGAACCCACACGGCAGAGCGCCAUGGCACGCGUCGUCGCUCGCCUCCGCCUCCGCCGCCGCCUGAGGAAGAAAUGUUAGGGUUUAGAUCAGGGGAGACCGGCGCAUAUAAAUAGUAUAGUGAGUGGGCCGUUAUUGGGCCAUAAACCAUACAACGAGAUGCAAAUCUCUGCUAUUAAGCCCACCAUUGAUGUGAAAGUCCAAAAAAAAAUGAGAAGCGCCGCUCAUAGCCACUGGCUGACUGCUGGGGCCAUUCUGUCAGUGGCGUUGGAUAAAUUGCCAGAAAAAGGAGGAAUCAGGCUCUCGGGGGAAUCGAACCCACGACCUGUCCGAAUAGAGACAGGGAGGCGAGCCACUAGGGUAAGCUCUCGCGCGUGACACAGGAGGAAACAGAUCGAACUAGAUCUAUCAAAUUAGGGGAGCAGAAUCAGGAAGAUCAAAACCAAUGAAAACUUGCAUAGAUCUGAAAACAAGUGNNN
This 62170-nucleotide long non-coding RNA is filed under the name Triticum aestivum (bread wheat). RNAcentral's name for it is "long non-coding RNA (TAES_LNC019881)". The record is from RNAcentral. Lineage: Eukaryota; Viridiplantae; Streptophyta; Magnoliopsida; Poales; Poaceae.